RNAcentral lists this long non-coding RNA (79480 nucleotides) under Lactuca sativa (garden lettuce). RNAcentral's name for it is "long non-coding RNA (LSAT_LNC006959)". Lineage: Eukaryota; Viridiplantae; Streptophyta; Magnoliopsida; Asterales; Asteraceae. The record is from RNAcentral.
UUAUUAACAUUUCUCAACCUAAACCUUUAGAUUUGAAAUGAAGCAUAAUAUUCUCUCCCUUAAUUAUAGCAAAACAACUAUUCCAUCCUUACAACUUUGCAAAGAAUGACUCUUGUUUUCUAUAAUUAAUAUUGCCAACUUGCAAUACUUUCCUUAAUAAUCAUACAAUCAUAACAUUUAUGCUCCCACUAUCAUGAUGAUUAUUAUAAAACAUAACACUUAUGCUCCCACUAGCUUCGACAUGUAUUCAUAAACAUCUUUAACUUUCAGAAAAACAAUACCUAUUGAGUUUCUUAAGUCCAUGUUACUAAUACUUAAUGCUUUGAUAAUCCUUCAUCAAGGCUUCUUGAACUUAUACACCUUUGCCUUAGAUAGUUUAUAUGUGUGUGUAAACAAUUUCCAAACCUCAUAAUUCAAAUCAUGUAAAGAGAUACCGUAACCAUAAUUGAAUUCGAGAAUGCAAUUUUACAAUCACUAUCUUCCUAAAAUCUUUCUUAGUGAAAGCAUUUCCUCACAAUCAUUUUCAUGAAGGAGGAAAUCUUAUGACACUUAGAUUUAAACGGUGUAUGUGUUCCUAUCCAUGUGAAUUUGUUAAAACCAAAGUUUACGACAAAUUCAAACUCAUAUGGACCGAACUUUCUUAAUCUUGAUUUCUUGCCUUAUGGUAGCACAGCUGCCCACCAUGUCUUCCAAGUAGUUAAGCAGCUCACCNNNNNNNNNNNNNNNNNNNNNNNNNNNNNNNNNNNNNNNNNNNNNNNNNNNNNNNNNNNNNNNNNNNNNNNNNNNNNNNNNNNNNNNNNNNNNNNNNNNNNNNNNNNNNNNNNNNNNNNNNNNNNNNNNNNNNNNNNNNNNNNNNNNNNNNNNNNNNNNNNNNNNNNNNNNNNNNNNNNNNNNNNNNNNNNNNNNNNNNNNNNNNNNNNNNNNNNNNNNNNNNNNNNNNNNNNNNNNNNNNNNNNNNNNNNNNNNNNNNNNNNNNNNNNNNNNNNNNNNNNNNNNNNNNNNNNNNNNNNNNNNNNNNNNNNNNNNNNNNNNNNNNNNNNNNNNNNNNNNNNNNNNNNNNNNNNNNNNNNNNNNNNNNNNNNNNNNNNNNNNNNNNNNNNNNNNNNNNNNNNNNNNNNNNNNNNNNNNNNNNNNNNNNNNNNNNNNNNNNNNNNNNNNNNNNNNNNNNNNNNNNNNNNNNNNNNNNNNNNNNNNNNNNNNNNNNNNNNNNNNNNNNNNNNNNNNNNNNNNNNNNNNNNNNNNNNNNNNNNNNNNNNNNNNNNNNNNNNNNNNNNNNNNNNNNNNNNNNNNNNNNNNNNNNNNNNNNNNNNNNNNNNNNNNNNNNNNNNNNNNNNNNNNNNNNNNNNNNNNNNNNNNNNNNNNNNNNNNNNNNNNNNNNNNNNNNNNNNNNNNNNNNNNNNNNNNNNNNNNNNNNNNNNNNNNNNNNNNNNNNNNNNNNNNNNNNNNNNNNNNNNNNNNNNNNNNNNNNNNNNNNNNNNNNNNNNNNNNNNNNNNNNNNNNNNNNNNNNNNNNNNNNNNNNNNNNNNNNNNNNNNNNNNNNNNNNNNNNNNNNNNNNNNNNNNNNNNNNNNNNNNNNNNNNNNNNNNNNNNNNNNNNNNNNNNNNNNNNNNNNNNNNNNNNNNNNNNNNNNNNNNNNNNNNNNNNNNNNNNNNNNNNNNNNNNNNNNNNNNNNNNNNNNNNNNNNNNNNNNNNNNNNNNNNNNNNNNNNNNNNNNNNNNNNNNNNNNNNNNNNNNNNNNNNNNNNNNNNNNNNNNNNNNNNNNNNNNNNNNNNNNNNNNNNNNNNNNNNNNNNNNNNNNNNNNNNNNNNNNNNNNNNNNNNNNNNNNNNNNNNNNNNNNNNNNNNNNNNNNNNNNNNNNNNNNNNNNNNNNNNNNNNNNNNNNNNNNNNNNNNNNNNNNNNNNNNNNNNNNNNNNNNNNNNNNNNNNNNNNNNNNNNNNNNNNNNNNNNNNNNNNNGACUCUCCCAUCUCUUAGAUCUCUUAGGUAAAUGGGGCAGCUUCGUCUCCAAUGCCCUUUCUCUUGGCAAUAAAAGCAAAUUGACUCUUUUGGAACAUGACAUGGAACUACUUCAGACAUUGCCUUUCUCUUAUGAUCAAACUUUUCAAUCAUAGCAUGUCUUUCGUUGCCAUUGUCUAUAUCCAUAGAGGUCUUGAAGGCAGAUUCACCAAUAAACUUUGCUUUUUCUAUUGCGCCAAACCAUUGCUGAUUCAGCAUCAAUAAGCAUAUAGGUGAGAUCUAUAAGGGUCACGUCGCGGUUCAUCAUAUAGUACUCUCUUACGAGCUCACUAUAUGAGUUAGGAAGUUACUGAAGAACCCAAUCAACAGCUAUCUCCUCACCGACAACGGAUCCCAUCAUUCUCAACCUAUCAAUGUGUGACUUCAUCCCUAGGACCUGUGCACAUAAUGGAAGGUUACGUCCUAUCCUACCCGUUCGGCUAACGACCCUCCACUAGUCAAGAGUGCGGUGGGUAAGAGUGGAUACCCAUUCAAUCGCCAUUUUAUAGGCAAUUUCCUUAAACACCCCUUAUAGACCAGCUUCGUGAAUGAGGCCUACUAACGGUAAGACUGACUUUUACUCAUACAUAUAUAUAAUGUUAGACUUUUAAUGUUAUAUAUAGUAUAGGGUGUAUUUUAUACUUUCAAAAUACUAGGUGGUCUAAUUUAACAAUUAUACUUUUAAUUCAAUUAAAUUGUAAACCUAAACUUUUAUGGAUUUAUUAAACCUCUUUUAAUUAUACACCUUAAUUAAUUAAUAAAACCAUAAGGGUGUGAUUUGAACUUUUUCAAAACUAUACUAGAGUUUUAGAAUUUAACAUUCCUAAUUAAACUUUUAAUCAACUUUUAAAUUCCAAAACUUGAGGGCAAGUUUUGAAACAUUUCAACACAUUAGGGUUUAGAAUUUAAAUAUACAUCAAAAUUAAACCAUUUAAUCAAAAUUUAAAUUCCAAAACUUGAGGGCAAGUUUUGAAACCUUUUUCAAAACAUUAGGGUUUCAACUAUUUAAAUUUCAAAACAACAAAACUUUUGGGUUCAAAUUUAAACUAUAAAACCUAAAGGGCAAAAUAUGAAACUUUUCAUAACAACAAGGAUCAAAUAACAAAUAAUUUAAAUUAACAUUUAAUCACAUAAUUAUCCAUAUUUGAUUUAUUUAAUGAUUUCUUGCAAAACAAUUUAUCAAUUUAGUCAAAAUAAUUAAUCAAUUAUCUUAUAAGGAAACAAUUAUCUUAUUAAUUGAUAAAUAUCUUCAAUUAGAUCAAAAUUAUAGUCAAAUAUAUCAUAUAAUCGGAUUAAUAUUGAUCUAACAUGAUAAGGUAACUAUCCCAAUGCAAAAACAGCAAGAAAUCCCGAGAUAACCUCCAUCUGACGAGUUGACUCGUCGAGUCAAGCCUGGACUCGUCGAGUCAGCAUGGACUCGGCGAGUUCAGCUAUGGACUCGGCGAGUCCAGCCUCCAGAAACCCAAAAAACGAAUUUUCCAGUUAUACAAUGCAUCAAUACAAUUGAAACCAAGCUAGGCUCUGAUACCACUGAUGGGUUUUGGUCAUAAGACAUCCUAUGUGCUCAUACAAACCCUAAUGCUUGGAUCUAGGUUUCUCUAUUGUACAUGCUUUGAAUCCAAGACUAUAAACCCUAAUUCUAGCAUUCAAGUAAUCAUAUUAACAUGAGAAUAGGUUUAUAAUGUUACCUUGAUUGUUAUGUAGCAAUAACAAUCCCAAAUCUCCUUGUAUUGACUUUGGAAGGCUUAGAGUCACAAGUGUCACUCCUCUAAUGGUUCACAAACACCAUAAGCAAGAGGAUGAAGAGGAGAGAGGAUGGAGGCUGCCCAAAACGUGUUCUAACCCUAGAAAAGAAGUUCCCCCACGUUUUUGAGCCUUAAGGGUUCUAUAUAUAGUGAGGCUAUUAGGGUUAUCUAACAAGGAAACCCUAAUUUGGUUGCUUAAGCCCUAAGUAACCCAUAGACUCCUUUAAUCAAGCCCUUGGACGAUUUCCUUAUGGGCUUCCCAUAAGAAUUCGUCCACCUCUUGAUUUAAGACAAUCCAUGGCCCAAAUUGUAAUUAUCUUAUAAUUACAAUUCCAGUCCCUUAAGUUUAAUUAAUCUCUUUUAGUCACAAAACUAAUUACCAAUUAAUUAUUGGCUAAUAUUAAUUAAACAAUAUGAUUUCUCCUUUAAUAUAUUAUUCCCAUAAUAUAUUAAUAAUAAUUAUUGACUAAUAUUAAUUACACAAUAUGAUUUCUCCUUUAAUAUAUUAUUCCCAUAAUAUAUUAAUAAAUCAUAUUUAAUCCUUUCUCUCCAUAAUUCAUCCUAUCAAGUUGCUUUGGUGAAGGCAACCCAAAAGGACCAUGCACCAUUGGGUCAAGUACAUACCAAAAUAGUUAUGGACUUAGACACUAAUCCAACAAUUAUCUUCUAGCUUUUUGCAAGUAAAUAAGCAAUUGGAGACUAGGUUGCGAUUUCUAGUGUUAUUUCUCCAUUUGAGGCUUGAAAUGGGUUGCAUGCACGUAAAGGUUGCACCUUUACAUGACUUUUGAGUGUUUAAGGGUUAGACCUAUGAUUUGACUAAGUAGAUCUGACCUCAGGAGUUUGUUUGAGCAAGUUCAUGGAGGAAAAUUGUUGAAACCAUAUGUAGACUCGACGAGUCGGACCGGGUUGCCCCGGGGUUUGACUCCAGUGUUGACCUGGUGAGUUGAGGGGUGACUCAGUGAGUCGAGUGAGGCUUAGAAAGGGAAGAGUCUGUGGGGACGAUGGGACUCGCCGAGUCGUCGUAUGCACUCGGUGAGUCUGGUCAAAAUGGACAGUUGACUUUUGGGUUGACUUUUAGGGUUUGUCAACAAAUGGGCCUUGGCCCUGUAGAGCGGUAGAAUGGUCUUUUACCCUUUUAGGGAUUUGCAUGAAAGAAUAUCCCAAUUUGUGAAGAGACAUUUAUUUAGUGAAAUUUAUUAUUGUGACUAGGCGGAGGCUAGGGCAAUAUUCCGAUAUCGAGAUUUUACCGAGAUUCCCGAGGUGAGUCUUCUCACUAUACUUUACAUAGAGUGGUAAUCAGAGCUAUGUGACAGUGUAUCUUGUAUGCUAUUUAUGUGUUGUGAUUCUAUGUGAUAUGUGAUAUGCAUGAUUCAGAGUUUACAGAGUUAGGACCAAUGGGUCCAUAGAGUUAUGGGACCAAGAGGGUCCCACAUAGAUAUUUGACUAGAGGGUCAUCAGAGUUAUUGCCUUGAGUGGCUGAUAUGUGUUUAUGUGGUAUUUUGGGGAACUCACUAAGCAUUUAUGCUUACAUAUUUUUGUUUAUGUGUUUCAGGUACCAGUGAUGAUCACGGGAAGGUGCCGACAUGAUCUGUACACACUCAUGGAGCUUUUGUUUAUAUGAUUCUGGGAUAUGUUUUUCUAUGAUGACAGUGAAUACAUUAUGUUUAUUAUUGUUUUAUGAAUGAAAGUAUGUUUUAAAAUUGUGAAAAAAUUAUUUGAAAAUUUUGGGUGUUACAAGUUGGUAUCGGAGCCUUGGUUAGAGGGAUUCGGGUGCACCUUCGGGCGUAUCUGAACUCAAACUGAGGAUUUGAGAGAUUUUCAAAUAAAAAUCACAAAAUUUUUCUCAAGGAGUAAAAGUUUCGAAAAUCGGAGAGCAGAGCAGUGUGUACGAUCAGCGAGCGCCCGAACGGUGAUUUUCCCAAAAUACCCUUAUAUUAUGUGUUAUGCGAUAUGAGAUAAUAUGUUAUGCAUGCUAGAGUAGGAUAGGUACUCUUAUUAGGACUUGAGUGGCCUGAUUUGUGAUGCCUUAGCUUACGGGUUUUUCUUCUAGGAGAUGCUUGGGAGUGAAUAGAUAUCAGCGAGGAGCUAUGAGACAUCUGCUGGAGAGUAGACUAUGCAUAGUGAGAGUAGGGUACUUGGGAUUUUGAAUCCAAGGAGGAGGACUUGGGGUGAAUACUAAUGAAGUGUGGACGGUAGUAUUGGGCCCGUACUACUGAAGACAUCAGAUCAGUGUGCAUCCCAAGUAAGAAUCCUUAGGGUACCAGGGAUCGAGUAGGAAUAGGAUAUCGAGUGUGUGUACGCUCGAGCGAGUCUUUGAUAUUUUGUGUUGUAUUUCAGAGAGAUCAUGGUUGGGACACGCCACAGGCUAGGGACUAGCGAGGGGGGUGUGAGCGAUGAGGAGCUCCACCAGAUGAUUCAGGAUGAAGUGGUUGCUGCCAUCCGAGCUAAGAUUCCAGAGAUGUUUGGGUCUAUUAAGACCACGCUGAUUGAGACUUUUGAUGAGAGAUAUGCAGCAGUUACUGAGGCUGCAGCUACCGUAGCUGUUGCUGCUGCCAGACCUCAGGGUGGUGAUGCGUUGCUGUUCUGAGAGUUCUGCAACACGAAGCCACCAGAGUUAGAUAGGACGCAGGAUCUGAUUGUUGUGAUGAGAUGGGUUUCUGAUAUUAAGGGAUGCUUCUAUACGUGUUCAUGUCCGGAGCAUCUGAAGGUUCGGUUCGCGCUGAACUAACUUCGCUUGGGAGCGAAGGACUGGUGGAUGUUUGUUACAGCGCACUAUUCGCCUUCUGAUCUUGCUGCGGUGACCUCGGAGAGGUUGACCGCCAUGUUUCGCGAUGAGUAUGUUCCCUCGGUGGAGAGGGAGCGACUGGACCUAGAGUUUCUGACCCUCAAGCAGGGUACUGAGUCUCUUACUAUGAUCACCAGGAUGUUCCAUGAGAGAGCGAUGUUCUUCCCUGAGCAUGUAUCUACCGAGCAGGCACGUAUUAGUCGGUAUCUGAGUAUUAUGAGGAGGGACAUGCGAGAGUUCGUGGUGAACUCAUCGUAUCGGACAUUUUCCGAGCUCCAGGAAAAUGCUUGGAAGAGGGAGAUAGAACUGGAGACUCAGGCUAGAGAGGAGGUGGAGUCUCAGGGGAGGGAUCGGCGGUCGGCUCAGUCCCAGCCGACAGCCAAGCGGGUUAAGCCCGCCGAUUCGAGAUCAGGGAACCAGAAGGGCCGCACUUAUGGCAAGUGCGGAAAGGGUCAUGAGGGGGUUUUUAGAGCAGGGUCUUGCUACAAGUGUGGCAAGGAGGGGCAUAUGGCCAAGGAUUCCCCAAGGGGUUUGCAGUCUAUUUUCAAUGCAACCAGACCGGACACCGGAAGGCCGAGUGUCCGCAGUUGUGGGGGUCAGCCCAAGGAGCAUCACAGGGAUCUGCCCCUUCUACCGUUCGAGCUACAGAGAGUUGGCCAGUAAAGGCCGUGGCGCCAAAGGCUCACGGGAGAGCCUUCUAGUUGACAGCGAAGGAGGUCCGCGCAGCGCCAUAUGUUGUGGCUGGUAUGUAUUCUUUCAUCUAUUUAUUUUGAGUUUGUGGUGUUAUGCUUAUAUUAUGAUAUGCGUAGGUACAUUUCUUGUGAGUUCUGUACCUGCUUUGGUGUUAUUUGACUCGGGUACGAGUCGGUCUUUUGUUUCGUUAGCCUUUAGUCAGCACAUCAGUAUCUGUCGAGAGGCGUUGAGUCGACCUUUGCGAGUUUCCAUAGCUAACGAGUGAGUAAUGUAUGCCACUGAUGUGAUUCGAGGAUGUGUACUCGAGAUCUUCGACGUUGAGUUUCCGAUUGAUUUGGUCCCGAUUACUAUGGGAGAUGUCUGUGUCAUCGUGGGCAUGGACCGGUUGAGUAGAUUUGGAGCGAUUAUCGACUGCGAGCGACAGCUGGUGGCCAUACGAGACCCUAGUGGGAGAGUUCUUUUGGUUUAUGGCGAGGGCACCCGUUCUGGGUCGGCAUUUUGUUUAGCCACUAGAGCGAGGCAGAGUCUAUAGUAAGGCUGUAGUGGGUUUGUGGCUUAUGUGGUGGAUACGAGAGUAGGUGCAGAGAGACCGAGGUUGGUUGAUGAGGUCUCGAUAGUGCGUGAGUGCCCAUAUGUUUUCCCAGGGAGUUGUUGGGUGUGCCUCCCAAGAGGCAAGUGGAGUUCCGUAUCGAUUUGGUUUCGGGGGCAGUGCUUAUCGCCAAGGCGCCCUAUCGCCUUGCGCCUCUAGAGAUGCAUGAGUAAUCCUCGCAGCUUCAGGAGCUGCUGGGGAAGGGGUUUAUACGACCGAGUAACUCGCCAUGGGGAGCACCGAUCCUUUUUGUCAGGAAGAAGGAUGGUUAACACUGGAUGUGCAUUGAUUACCAGGAGUUGAACAAGCUGAUGGUCAAGAACCGUUACCCCUUACCGAGGAUCGACGAUUUUUUCGAUCAGUUGCAGGGAGCCUCUUGGUUAUCCACGAUUGAUUUGAGGUCUGGAUAUCAUGAUAUGAGGGUGCGUGAUGAGGAUAUCUAGAAGACAACGUUCAGGACUCAUUACGGGCAUUACGAGUUCGUGGUGAUGCCUUUCGGGCUCACCAAUGCACCGGCGGCAUUCAUGGAUCUCAUGAACAGGGUGUGCAUGCCGAUGUUGGAUCGUUCGGUGAUCAUGUUCAUUGAUGAUAUAUUGGUAUAUUCGAGAUCCAGAGAGCAGCAUGAGGAGCAUUUGAGGGAGAUCCUCGAAGUUCUGAGAUCAGAGAGGUUUUAUGCCAAACUCCAAAUGUGAAUUCUGGUUAUGAGAGGUCCAGUUUCUAGGACACCUCAUCAAUCAGAAUGGGAUAUUGGUCGAUCUGGCCAAGAUUGAGGCGGUGAUGAUUUGGGAGGUGCCGAAAUCCCCCUUGGAGAUCAGGAGUUUCCUGGGGUUGGCCGGUUAUUAUCGGAGAUUCAUCCAGAAUUUCUCCAGGAUUGCAAUUCCUCUCACAAGACUAACUCGGAAGGGCGUGACUUUCAGUUGGGGCCCGGAGUAGCAGACCUCAUUCGAGACACUUCGGCAAAGAUUGUGCGAAGCCCCAGUGUUAUCCCUUCCGGAGGGAAUGGAGGACUUUGUGGUAUAUUGUGACGCGUCGAUAUAGGGACUGGGUGCGGUGCUGAUGCAGAGAGGGCAUGUGAUAGCAUACGCAUUGAGGUAGCUGAAGCCUCAUGAGACGAGGUAUCCUACUCACGAUUUGGAGUUGGGGGCUGUGGUGUUCACCCUCAAGAUCUGGCGUCACUAUUUGUACGGAGUCCAGUGUACCAUUUACACAGAUCACAAGAGCUUGAAGUAUUCGAUGGAUCAUCCCAACCUGAAUAUGCGCCAGAGGAGAUGGUUGGAUGUGGUAAAGGAUUAUGAGUGUGAUAUCCUGUACCACCUAGGCAAGGCGAAUGUUGUAGCCGAUGCCUUGAGUCGCAGGGUGGGGAGUGCCCUGAUACGGGAUGUUUGUUUGAGAUUGACAGUGAUGACUCCGUUGUUGGACACCAUUCGGGAGGCCCAGGUAGAGGCCAUGAGACUGGAGAACUGCAAGCGAGAGUGGGUGAUCGGACAGAUAUCUGAGUUCGUUGCCGAUAGCCGGGGGCUUAUGACUUUCCAGGGCCGGAUUUGGGUGUCAUUUAAGGGCGAGGCACAUGCCAUUUUGAUGGAGGAGGCGCACAUGUCGAGGUUUUUAAUCCAUCUCGGGGCCACUAAGAUGUAUUUGGACCUGAAGAGAGACUAUUGGUGGCCCUGUACGAAGAGGGAUGUGGCGUGGUUUGUAGAGAGGUGUUUGACCUGUCGCAGGGUUAAGGCCGAGCACCAGUGUCCACAUGGCAAGUUGCAGCCACAUGAGGUUCUCCAGUGGAAGUGGGAAUAGAUUUCCAUGGAUUUUAUCACCAAAUUGCCGAGGACUGCAAGAGGUGUCGAUGCAAUUUGGGUGAUCGUUGACCGGCUGACGAAGAGCGCUCAUUUUCUUGCUAUCAGUGAGAGCUCUUCCGCAGAGAGGCUAGCAGAGGUGUAUGUGAGAGAGGUGGUAUCAUGGCAUGGUGUACCGACCUCGAUUGUGUUAGAUCCAGAUGUGUGUUUCACUUCUAGGUUCGGGAAGAAGUUCCAUGAGGAGUUGGGUACUAGGCUACAUUUCAGUACUGCUUACCACCCACAGACGGACGGACAGAGUGAGCGGACGAUUCAGACGCUCGAGGACAUGCUUUGGGCAUGUGUGUUGGACUUCGGAGGGAGCUGGGACACGUAUCUGCCUUUGGUUGAGUUUUAUUAUAACAACAACCACCAUUCGAGCAUUGGUAUGCCUCCCAUCGAGUUGUUGUAUGGGAGGAAGUGUCGAACUCCCAUCUGUUGGGGAGAGGUAGGACAUCGAGUGAUAGGUAGCAUGGAGAUGGUGCUUCAUAUGACUGAGUAGAUACAUCAGGUCAGGCAGAGGUUGCUGAUGGCUCAGAGUCGUCAGAAGAGCUACGCGGAUAGGCGUCGCUCAGAGCUUGAGUUCCAAGUUGGUGAUUUUGUUCUCCUGAAGGUGUCACCUUGGAAAGGUGUGAUCCGGUUCAGGAAGAGAGGCAAUUUGGGGCCUCGAUAUAUUGGUCCAUUCAGGGUGAUCACGAGGGUAGGCAGGGUAGCGUAUCGUUUGGAGUUACCUACAGAGUUGAGUCAGAGUCAUGAUACCUUCCACAUGUCUCAGUUGAGGAAGUGUAUUGCCGAUGAAUCGGCAGUGGUACCGUUAGAGGGUAUUCAGGUGGAUGCGAGCCUGAAUUAUGUUGAAAGGCCAAUUGUGAUUCGGGAUCGGAGAAUCAAGGUUUUGAGAAACAAGGAGGUGUCCUUGGUGCAGGUUCAGUGGCAGCAUCGGAAGGGGUCCGAGCUGACAUGGGAACCAGAAAUUGAGAUGCGGGAGCAGUAUCCAGAGUUAUUUGCAGAGCGAGACUUCGAGAGUGAAGUAUGAUUCUAGUGGGGGAGAAUUCUAGCAUCCUGAGUUCGGGUAUGUUAAUUUAAUUAUUUAUUUAUUGUUUUAUUGAGGAACUCGACGAGUUGAUGCCUCAACACGUCGAGUAGAGUCUGAUCUAUGGGCGCAUUUUUGCAUACGGACUUGACGAGUCGGGGACCUGAAUCACCGAGUCAGUGCUGAUUAGGAAAACCCUAAUCCGCGGGUUUGGGAGCCUAUUUAAAGACCUUUAUGGCCUUCAUUUGCGGCCACCUUGUUCCAGAGAAACCCUAGGGAGCUGAGAUAGUGAGUUUGAGGGCAAAUGGAGGCUAUUUCUUCAUCUUUUUGUGUGGUUUUUCUUGGAGGAAGAAAGGAGCACAAAUCUAGAGUGUGAAGGGGACUGGAUCUGAGUUAAUCAUCCAGUGAUAUCAUCUUUGGAGGUAUAAUCCUUUCCAUUUCGUGUUAUAUUGAUGGACUUCUUGAUUUUAGGGUUUUUACCCUCAUUUUAUGAAAGAUGUAGUGAGUAUGAGGUCCUUAUUGGGAUUAUGACAUCAGAUUUGGACCAUGAGAGGUCCCUAGAGUCAUUAUCUUCUAGCUUUUUGCAAGCAAAUAAGCAAUUGGAGACUAGGUUGCGAUUUCUAGUGUUAUUUCUCCAUUUGAGGCUUGAAAUCGGUUGCAUGCACGUAAAGGUUGCACCUUUACGUGACUUUUGAGUGUUUAAGGGUUAGAUCUAUGAUUUGGCUAAGUAGAUCUGACCUCAUGAGGUUGUUUGAGCAAGUCCAUGGAGGAAACUCGCCGAGUCGAUAUGUAGACUCGACGAGUCGGACCGAGUUGCCCCAGGGUCUGACUUCAGUGUUGACCCGGUGAGUUGAGGGGUGGNCACAAAGAACAAACCCCCUUUAUUUUUGCGAGAUCUAUCCAAAAAUGAAAAAAUAUUUCAAAAAUAAGAUCAAAUAUUGCUCCAAAGNCGUCGUAUACACUCGGCGAGUCUGGUCAAAAUGGACAGUUGACUUUUGGGUUGACUUUUAGGGUUUGUCAACAAAUGGACCUUAGGCCUGUAGAGGGGUAAAAUGGUCUUUUACCCUUCUAGGGAUUUGCAUGUGUAAGUCCCUAAUCUGCCUAUGUAUCAGUCAGAUCCGUUUGAUGGUGCAGAAUCCCAAUCAAACGGAUGAUGUCAGAUCAAAUAGAAAAGAAUGAGAAGAAGAAAAAUAUGAAUCUUUGUAUGUAUUGAUAUGAAUGAAGAUCCGGAUACAAAAGAUUCACAUACACAUAAAAGCUUCUGUUUCUCUUUGGCCGUAAACUCUCUAGGGUUCAUCAAUCUCUACUCCUCACCCUAACACCUCUAUUUAUAAUAGGGAACAUGGGUCAGAAACAAAUGGGCCGUAAAUGAGUUUACGGUCGUAAGGUGUUUACGGCCGUAAACUCAGCCGUAAACAUGACCAUAAACUCAUAAAUAUUACAGAAAAGUACAACUGCCCAGAAAAGUAAAGUGUAAACCAUAUUUUGACCCAACAAUCUCCCCCUUGGUUUAUAGCUUUNUUGAAGAGACAUUUAUUUAGUGAAAUUUAUUAUUGUGACUAGGCGGAGGCUAGGGCAGUAUUCCAAUAUCGAGAUUUUACCGAGAUUCCCGAGGUGAGUCUUCUCACUAUACUUUACCUAGAGUGGUAAUCAGAGCUAUGUGACAGUGUAUCUUGUAUGCUAUUUAUGUGUUGUGAUUCUAUCUGAUAUGCAUGAUUCAGAGUUUAUAGAGUUAGGACUAGUGGGUCCAUAGAGUUAUGGGACCAAAAGGGUCCCACAUAGAUAUUUGACCAGAGGGUCAUCAGAGUUAUAGCCUNAGAUAGCGCUUUCAGCUUGAGAAUCUUCAGAGAGAACAUCAGAGAGAACAAAUCUUCUGGAUCACUUCAACAGGUACAAAGAUAGUAGCAAACUGAUUGAGGAGGCUUCAAUGUAAUCCGUCACAUAAUCUUCAGUUGCCGCUUUACCUNUUAUAGCCUUGAGUGGCUGAUAAGUGUUUAUGUGGUAUUUUGGGGAACUCACUAAGCAUUUAUGCUUACAGAGUUUUGUGUAUGUAUUUCAGGUACCAGUUAUGAUCGCAGGAAGGCGCCGACAUGAUCUGUACACACUCAAGGAGCUUUUUAUAUAUGAUUUCGGGAUAUGUUUUUCUAUGAUGAUAGUGGAUACAUUAUGUUUAUUAUAAUUUUAUGAAUGAAAGUAUGUUUUAAAAUUGUGAAAAAGUUAUGUAACACUGUAAAAAUUUGAACAAUUUUUUUCACUUUUGAAAAACCAUAAAAUGUCAUUUGUAACCAUAAGUAAAAACAUUGUGUCAACAUUGUAUCAGUUCAAAACCCAAGAUCAAAAUACAUAAACUCCGGUGUGCUUGUGCACGAAUCAUGCCGGCGCCUUCCCGCAAUCAUCACUGGUACCUGAAACACAUAACACACAACACAGUAAGCAUAAAUGCUUAGUGAGUCCCCCAAAAUCCCACUCUAACACAUAAUAGCCACUCGAGGCUGUAACUUUGUUGACCCUCAGGUCAAUAUGUCUCAGUGGGGCCCUCCAGCCCCAACUCUUUGUGGUCCCUCUGGCCAUGACUCUGUGGACCCGAAGGUCCUAACUCUGUAACUCUGAAUCAUGCAUAUCACAUAUCAAAAUGAAUCACAACACAUAAAUAACAUGCAAUUACACUGGCAUAGAACUCUAAAAUACUCUAUCACAUAACUCUGUUACCACACCAGGUAAAGUAUAGUAAGAAGACUCACCUCGGGUAUCUCGGUAAAUCUCUGACUCGGUAAACGCUGGUCUAGCCUCCACCUAAUCAUAUAAAAGAAAUACCCUAAUUAUUAUAGCUCUCAAGGCUAGACUAUGUCCUCUUAUGACGCUUUUAGAAGGGUAAAAGAGCAUUUUACCCCUCUCAUAACUCAAAAGGCCCCACAAUAGACCAUACCCUAAAAGUCAACCCAAAGUCAACUUUCCGGGUUACGCUGCGCGUACCAGAUGUGUACGUUGAGCGUACCCGACUGCAUCUCAGAAACGGGGAACGCCACCUAGUACGCGGCGUGUACUAGGAUUACGCCCGACAUACUCCCCAGCUUCAGCCCUUUAGCUCUUGAGGUCUUAAACAGUUAAGACUCACGUCUAAUUUCUAGAUCUANAUUUCUAGAUCUGACCACAUCUAAGCCUCUUAAUCCAUAAAGUUGAUGACUUUAUGCCUUUGCAUGGCUGAACAAGCCACCAACUCUCAUAAUAUUCCAUCCUCUAACCCUAGAAGGCUUAUUACUCAAUCAUGACCUCAAACUAACACUAAAGAUGGAAACUUUAUGGCUCUAAAUCACUAAUAGCACUGAAAGGGGACAGAUCUCAGACCAUGGAUCACUUUACACUCAUAAAGUCUCCACCUUUGGGGGGUUUUUAGCCCUAGAAAUGGAACAUGCAACAACAAAUCAAAAGAAGAGGAAAGUUUCGAAUUUUAUACGUCUAAGUGUAGCCCCUUGCUCUGUAGAUCUCAGAUCCAAAAUGGCACCUCAAGCUUUAGCUUCCAAGAACUCCUUUCCAUCUUCUUCACUAAGUCACCAAAGCACAAUUAGCUCCAAUAACACUCACACACACUAAGGAUGGUGGGAAGCUCUCUUUUAGGGUUUCACUCACUGAUAUGGAGGCUGAGAAAUGAGCCUUAGCACCCUUUAAAUAGUGCACAAGACGGAUUAGGGUUUUGCACCUGGGCCGGGUACGCCCGGUGUAACUCUGGGUACGCCUAGCGUACCUUGGCGACUCCGCGUCCAAACUAAGCACAUGAUUAUGCGCAGCGUACCCCUUUGGUACGCCCAACGUACUUACUUCCUAAGUUUUCUCCACACAAGGGCUAAUCAUGACUAAUUGACAAAGAAUAAGGGUAAAAGAAACGCACCUGAAUCUCGAGGUGUUACAAUUCUCCCCCACUAGAACCAGACUUCGCCCCUGAAGUCUCAUUCCUCGAACAACUCUGGAUGUUGCCCUCGCAUAUCCGACUCUGACUCCCAAGUCAUCUCGGACCCCUUCCGAUGUUGCCAUUGAACCAAAACCAGAGGCACUUCCUUCUUCCUCAAAACCUUGANUCCGAUCCCUGAUCGCCACCGGUCUCUCAGCAUAAUUCAGGCUCGCAUCCACCUGAAUAUCCUCCAAUGGCACCACUGCCGACUCAUCGGCUAUACACUUUCACAACUGCGACACGUGAAAGGUGUCAUGAAUCUGACCCAACUCUGCAGGUAGCUCCAAACGAUAAGCUAACAUGCCCACCCUUGCGAUCACUCUAAACGGCCCAAUAUACCGGGGUCCCAGCUUGCCCCUCUUCCUGAAUCGGAUCACUCCUUUCCAAGGAGAUACCUUCAGGAGCACCAAAUCACCGACCUGAAAUUCGAGCUCAGAUCGUCGCCUAUCAGCAUAACUCUUCUGGUGACUCUGAGCGGUCAACAACCUCUGCCUGACCUACUGGAUCUGCUCUGACGUCUGAAGCACUAUCUCUGUACUACCCAUCACACGCUGCCCCACUUCUCCCCAACAAAUGGGGGUCCGACACCUCCUCCCAUACAACAGCUCAAAGGGUGGCAUACCAAUGCUCGAAUGAUGGCUGUUGUUGUAGGAAAACUCCGCCAAGGGUAAGUACGUGUCCCAACUCCCGCCGAAGUCCAACACACAUGCCCGGAGCAUAUCCUCGAGCGUCUGAAUUGUCCGCUAGCUCUAUCCGUUAGUCUCUGGGUGGUACGCGGUACUGAAAUGCAGUCUAGUACCCAAUUCCACAUGGAUUUUUUUUCCAGAAUCUAGAGGUGAAACGCACAUCUCGGUCUGAGACAAUCGAGAUCGGCACUCCAUGUUGUGAUACCACUUCCCUCACAUACAUCUCUGCGAACCUCUCUGCAGAAGAGCUCUCGCUAAUAACGAGGAAAUGAGCGCUCUUUGUCAACCGGUCUAUAAUCACCCAAAUUGCAUCGACGCCCCUCGCGGUCCUUGGCAAUUUGGUGAUAAAGUCCAUGGCAAUUUGUUCCCACUUCCACUCGGGAAUCUCUAACGGCUGCAACUUGUCGUGCGGUCUCUGGUGCUCGGCCUUAACCCUGCGACAGGUUAGGCACCUCUCCACGAACCAUGCAACGUCCUUCUUCAUACAGGGCCACCAAUACUCCCCUUUCAGGUCCAAAUACAUCUUAGUGGCCCCGAGAUGGAUCGAGAACUUCGAUCGAUGAGCCUCUUCCAUCAAAAUGGUACGCGUUCCGCCCACAUGCGGCACCCAAAUCCGGCCCUGAAACGUCAUAAGCCCCCUACCAUUGGUAACGAACUCCGAUACUUGCCCGAUAACCCGCUCUCUCUUCUGGGUUUCUGGUCUCACGGCCUCAGUCUGAGCUCCUCGAAUGGUGUCCAACACCAGAAUCAUCACUAUCAAUCUCAUAGAAAUGUCACGCAUCGGAACACUCUCCGCCCUACGACUCAAGGCAUCGGCCACCAUGUUGGCUUUCCCCGGGUGAUACAGGAUCUCGCAAUCGUAAUCCUUCACCACAUCUAGCCAUCUCCUUUGUCGCAUAUUCAGGUUGGGCUGAUCCAUCAAGUACUUCAGGCUCUUGUGAUCCGUGUAUAUGGUACACCGGACCCCAUAUGGAUAGUGACAUCAGAUCUUGAGGGCGAACACUACUGCCCCCAACUCUAAAUCAUGGGUAGGAUACCUCGCCUCAUGAGGCUUCAGCUGCCUCGAUGCAUACGCUAUCACAUGGUCUCUCUGCAUAAGCACUACUCCCAACCCUGAUAUCGACGCAUCAUAAUAUACCACAAAAUCCUCCAUUCCCUCCGGAAGGGCUAACACCGGGGUUUCACAUAAUCUCUUGCGAAGUGUCUCGAAGGAGGCCUGCUGCUCUGGACCCCAAGAAAAAACUACACCCUUUCGGGUCAACUUAGUGAGUGGCAUGGCGAUCUUGGAGAAAUCCCUGAUGAAUCUUCGAUAGUAGCCUGCCAGUCCUAUAAAACUCCUGAUCUCCGUGGGUGACCUCGGCACCUCCCAACUCAUCACCGCCUCAAUUUUGGCCGGGUCGACCAAUAUCCCUUUCUGGUUAAUGAGAUGUCCCAGGAACUGGACCUCCCGUAACCAGAAAUCACACUUGGAGAACUUGGCAUAAAGCCUCUCCGAUCUCAAGACCCCUAGGAUCUCCCUUAGAUGCUCCUCAUGCUGCUCUCUAGAUCUCGAAUACACCAAAAUGUCGUCGUUGAAUAUGAUCACCGAGCGAUCCAACAUCGGUCUACAUGCCCUGUUCAUGAGAUCCAUGAACACCGCUGGUGCGUUGGUGAGCCCGAAAGGCAUCACCACGAACUCGUAAUGCCCGUAACGAGUCUUAAACACUAUCUUCUGGAUAUCCUCAUCCCGCACCCUCACCUGAUGAUAUCCAGAUGUCAAGUCGAUCUUGGAAAACCAAGAUGCUCCCUGCAACUGAUCAAACAAAUCGUCAAUCCUCGGCAACGGGUAACGGUUCUUGACCGUCAAUUUGUUCAACUCCCGGUAAUCAAUGCACAUCCGGUGUGAACCAUCCUUUUUCUUGACAAAAAGGAUAGGAGCUCCCCACGGCGAACUACUCGACCGAAUAAACCCCUUUCCCAGCAACUCCUUAAGCUGCGAGGAUAACUCUUGCAUCUAUGGAGGCGCAAGGCGAUAGGGCGCCUUGGCGAUAGGCGCGGCCCUCGGAACCAAAUCGAUACUGAACUCCACCUGCGUCUCCGGAGGUACGCCCGGCAACUCCUUCGGAAAUACAUCCGGGAACUCACGCACUAUCGGAACCUCUCCCAUAGACCUCGGUCUCUCCGUCUCAACCAUCACGUUCAUCACAAACAUUAUGAAUCUCUUACAUCCCUGUUGAAGACUCUACUUCGCCCUGGCGACUGAGCAAAAUGCUGAACCAGAACGUGUACCCUCGUCGUACACCGUAAGAACUCCCCCAUUGGGGUCUCGCAUGGUCACCAGCUGUCGCUCGCAGUCGAUGAUCGCUCCAAAUCUGCUCAACCAGUCCAUACCCACGAUGACACGGACAUCCCCCAUCACAAUAGGGACCCGAUCUAUCGGAAACACAACCCCGAAAAUCUCAAGUACAAAACCAUGAAUCACCUCGGUGGCAUACACCGCUCUCUCAUCCGCUAUGGAAACUCUCAGAGGUCGACUCAANACGCCUCCCGACUAAUACUGGUGUGUUGGCUAAAGGCCAACGAUACAAAAGAUCGACUCGCACCCGAGUCAAAUAACACUAGAGCAGGUACAAAAUUCACAAGGAAAGUACCUACGCAUAACAUAAUAUAAGCACAAUAUCACAAAAUACAAAAGAAUACAUGAAAGAGUACAUACCGGCCACGACAUCGGGCGCUGCGCGGACCUCCUCCGCAGUCAACUGGAAGGCUCUCUCGCGUGCCUUCUGUGCCUCGACCUUCACAGGUCGAACAUCUGCAGCUCUCAUCGCAACAUGGGCUGAUCCCGGAGAUGCUCCCUGUGCUGACCCCCGCAACUGUCGACACUCUGCCUUCCGGUGUCCAGUCUGGUUGCAAUGAAAAUAGACUGAAAAACCCUUAGGGCAAUCCUUGGCCAUGUGCCCCUCCUUGCCACACUUGUAGCAAGACCCUGCUCUGCAUAUCCCAUCGUGGCUCUUGCCGCACUUGCCACAAGUGAAGCCCUUCUGGUUCCCAGAUCUCGAAUCAGCGGGUUUGGCCCGCUUGGCUGCCGGCUGAGAUUGAGCCGGCCGCCGAUNGCCUCCUCCCUGGCUUGGGUCUCCAACUCUAUUUCCCUCUUCCGGGCAUUUGCCUGAAGCUCAGCAAAUGUCCGGUACGAUGAGUUCGCCACGAAAUCUUGUAUAUCCCUCCUCAACACACUCAAAUAUUGGCUCAUACGUGCCUGCUCGGAGGACACGUGCUCUGGGCAGAACAUCGCCCUCUCAUGGAACUUCCGAGUAAUCGCUGUAACCGACUCAGUACCCUGCUUGAGGGUCAGAAACUCCUAUGCCAAUCGCUCCCUCUCCACCUGGGGAAUGUACUCAUCUCGGAACAUAGCAGUGAACCUCUCCCAGGUUACUUCCGCAAGCUCAGCAGGCGUGUAGUGCGCUGUCAUAAUCUUCCACCAGUCCUUCGCUCCCAAGCGAAGCUGGUUCAGUGCAAACCAAACUCUCAAAUGCUCAGGGGAUGAGCAGGUAAAGAAACACCCCUCAAUGUCUGAUAUCCAUCUCAUCGCUGCAAUCGGGUCCCGGGUCCCAUCGAACUCUGGUGGUUUCGUGUUGCUGAAUUCUCUGAACAGCAACGCAUCACCACCCUGUGGCCUCGUUGCAGCUAUAGCUGCAGUGGCCGCAGAAACAGCAGCCUCAGAAAGAGCAGCGUAUCUCUCGUCAAAUGUCUCAAUCAGAGUGGUCUUGAUAGACCUGAACAUCUCUGGUAUCUCUGCCCUGAUGGCCGCAACCACCUCCUCCUGAAUGAUCCUACGGAUCUCAGCCUCGGUCGUGCUACUACUCUCUGGUGUGUGGCGUGUCCCAACCAUGGUCUCCUUCUGAAAUACAACAUAAGAACAUUAGAGACCCCUUCGAGUAUAAUCACACUCAAUAACUCCACCCUACUUGUUCCUUAGUGCCCUAAGGAUUCUUACUUGGACUAUGCACCAACCCGGUAUCUUCAGUAGUACGGGCCCAAUAUUAUUGUCCAUACCGCAUCGGCAUUCAUCCCAAGUCCUCCUCCUUGAGCCCCAAAUCCCAAGUACUCUACUCUCUCUAUCAUGUGCUACUCGCUAACAAAUCUCUAAUAAGCACCUCACUGCUAUCUAAAUCACUCUUAAGCAUCUCUAGCAGCAAAACCCCUAGACUAAGGCAUCAUAUAUCAGGCCACUCUAGUCCUAAUAAGAAUACCUAGUCUACUCUAGCAUGCAUAUCGUAACUCAUCAUAUAGCAUAACAUAACAUAUCUGAUAAUCACUUAUUAUGAGGGUAUUUUGGGAAAUCACCGUUCGGGCGCUAGCUAAUCGUACACACGACACCGCUCUGUUAGUCUCAAGACUCCUUUUACUCUUUUUCAAAAAUAUUAUUUUUAUUAUUAAAAUUUCCUCAAAUCCCUAGUUUCAGUUCAGAUACGCCCGAAGAUGUAUUUGAAUCCUUCAAACCAAGGCUCUGAUACCAACUUGUAACACCGUAAAAAUUUGAACAAUUUUUUUCACUUUUCAAAAACCAUAAAAUAUCAUUUGUAAUCAUAAGUAAAAACAUUGUGUCAACAUUGUAUCAGUACAAAACCCAAGAUCAAAAUAGAUAAACUCCGGUGUGUGUGUGUACGAAUCAUGCCGACGCCUUCCCGCGAUCAUCACUGGUACCUGAAACACAUAACACAUAACACAGUAAGCAUAAAUGCUUAGUGAGUUCCCCAAAAUACCUCUCUAACACAUAAUAGCUACUCGACGUGUAACUCUGUUGACCCUCAGGUCAAUAUGUCUCAGUAGGGCCCUCCAGCCCCAACUCUCUGUGGGCUCUCUGGCCCUAAAUCUAUGGACCCGAAGGUCCUAACUCUAUAACUCUGAAUCAUGCAUAUCACAUAUCACAAUAAAUCACAACACAUAAAUAGCAUGCAAUUACACUGGCAUAGAACUCUAAAAUACUCUAUCACAUAACUCUGUUACCACACUAGGUAAAGUAUAGUGAGAAGACUCACCUCGGGUAUCUCGGUAAAUCUCUGACUCGGUAAACGCUGGUCUAGCCUCCGCCUAAUCAUAUAAAAUAAAUACCCUAAUUAUUAUAACUCUCAAGGCUAGACUAUGUCCUCUUAUGACGCUCUCAGAAGGGUAAAAGACCAUUUUACCCCUCUCAUAACUCAAAAGGCCCCACAAUAGACCAUACCCUAAAAGUCAACCCAAAGUCAACUUUCCGGGUUACGCUGCGCGUACCAGAUGUGUACGCUGAGCGUACCCGACUGCAUCUCAAAAACGGGGAACGCCACCUAGUACGCGGCGCGUACUCGGAUUACGCCCGGUGUACUCCACAACUUCAGCCCUUUAGCUCUUGAGGUCUUAAACAGUUAAGACUCACGUCCAAUUUCUAGAUCUGACCACAUCUAAGCCUCUUAAUCCAUAAAGUUGAUGACUUUAUGCCUUUGCAUGGCUGAACAAGCCACCAACUCUCAUAAUAUUCCAUCCUCUAACCCUAGAAGGCUUAUUACUCAAUCAUGACCUCAAACUAACACUAAAGAUGGAAACUUUAUGGCUCUAAAUCACUAAUAGCACUGAAAGGGGACAUAUCUCGGACCAUGGAGCACUUUACACUCAUAAAGUCUCCACCUUUGGGGGUUUUUAGCUCUAGAAAUGGCACAUGCAACAACAAAUCAAAAGAAGAGGAAAGUUUUGAACUUUAUACCUCUAAGUGUAGCCCCUUGCUCUGUAGAUCUCAGAUCCAAAAUGGCACCUCAAGAUUUAGCUUCCAAGAACUCCUUUCCUUCUUCUUCACUAAGUCACCAAAGCACAUUUAGCUCCAAUAACACUCACACACACUAAGGACGGUGGGAAGCUCUCUUUUAGGGUUUCACUCACUGAUAUGGAGGUUGAGAAAUGAACCUUAGCACCCUUUAAAUAGUGCACAAGACGGAUUAGGGUUUUGCACCUGGGCCGGGAUGCCCGACGUAACUCUGGGUACGCCCAGCGUACCUUGGCGAUUCCGUGUCCAAACUAAGCACAUGAGUACACGCAGCAUACCCCUUUGGUACGCCUAGUGUACUCACUUGCUAAGUUUUCUCCACACAAGGGCUAAUCAUGACUAAUUGACAAAGAAUAAGGGUAAAAGAAACGCACCUGAAUCUUAGGGUGUUACAAGUUAUUUGAAAAUUUUGGGUGUUACACUCCCCUUAUAGUGUGGCAUCGUGAAUGAGGCGUCUAGCGGUUCGACUGACUCGUCUUAUAUAUAGUAAUAUUAAACCUUUAAUGUUACAUAUAAUAUAAGUGUGUAUUUUAAACUUUUAAAAUACUAAGGGUUUAAUCUUUUAAUAAAUUAAACUUUUAAUUUGAUUAAAUUUAAACCUUUUAUGGAUUUAUUAAUUAUCUUUUAAUUAAAAACUUAAUUAAAUUAUUAAUAACAUCGAUAAGGAUGUAUAUUAAAUAUUUUAAAAUACUAGGGUUCUUAAAUUUACGAUUUCAAAAUUAAACUAUUUAAUUAAAUUUUAAAUUAAAAAACCAAAUGGUGUAUUUUUAAAACUCUUCAAAAAUACUAGAUCAAAUAUUUAAAUAAUUAAUAAUUAAUUUUGCCUUUAUCUACAAAUUUAACCAAAUUAAUUCCUUUAAUCCCAAAAUUAAUUCCAAAUUAAUUUUUGAUUGAAUAUUAUUUAAACAACAUGAUUUCCAAUUAAUAUAUUAUUUUCAUUACAUAUUUAUAAAUCAUUUAUAUGAAUUUAUUAUUCCAAACAAUAAAUUCAACUUCUCUCCAAAAGUCAUCCUGCCAAGUUGCAAAAGUGAAGGCAACCCAAAAGGACUUGUGCUUCUAUCAAUUCAAGUAUAUACCAAUUCUAGUUAUGAGUUUAGACACCUAAUCCAACAAUUUCAACAAUUAUAGAAGAAUAGAAUGUGAAAAUUUGGAAACGCAGAAGAGCAAUGUUUGUUGAAAACACUAUCAUGACAUGUGACAUGUCAUGUGUUUGACUUGGUCAAAAAACCCUAGUUGUGGUACCUUGAUCUCUAAGUAUUGAACUUUCUAGAUACUUCUAGAACCUUCGACACGCAUAUUCACGAAGUCAACAUAUGGCCAAAGUUGGUCGGGUUGCUCCAACCCAAUCCAACACGAACCCUAAUAAAAUUAACAGCUCCUCAACUUUGAGUGACCGAAGUACAAAGUACGUCUAAAUCACGCCAAUUCGUGAACCUCAUGUCUCGUAUCCUCGGCCUUGUUCGACAUGCGUAAGGACGUGGCACUUCCCCCAAUCCAUAUUAAAAUCUUUGAAGGCUAAACAUGUUCUUAAAUUUAUUUAUAUUGGUAAAAGAUAUAGUGAAAACAAGCUAUNNNNNNNNNNNNNNNNNNNNNNNNNNNNNNNNNNNNNNNNNNNNNNNNNNNNNNNNNNNNNNNNNNNNNNNNNNNNNNNNNNNNNNNNNNNNNNNNNNNNNNNNNNNNNNNNNNNNNNNNNNNNNNNNNNNNNNNNNNNNNNNNNNNNNNNNNNNNNNNNNNNNNNNNNNNNNNNNNNNNNNNNNNNNNNNNNNNNNNNNNNNNNNNNNNNNNNNNNNNNNNNNNNNNNNNNNNNNNNNNNNNNNNNNNNNNNNNNNNNNNNNNNNNNNNNNNNNNNNNNNNNNNNNNNNNNNNNNNNNNNNNNNNNNNNNNNNNNNNNNNNNNNNNNNNNNNNNNNNNNNNNNNNNNNNNNNNNNNNNNNNNNNNNNNNNNNUAUAUAUAUAUAUAUAUAUAUAUUUAAAAAUAAAAAAUUUAUAAUAACGAUAAAGUUACCCAUUUUCUUGUUCUCUGCAUUUGAGUAUAUUUAAAUCAUAAACACACUCUCACAUACUCAGACACUAGAUUUUGUUCUCAAAGUACGUCAAUAUUUAUUUGAGCGAGUAUAUAAUUGAAAUGUGAAAAUGAUGCCACAAUUUUUGAAUGUACUUAACAUAAAUAUGUCUUUAAAUAAUCAAAGUUGCUUUAGUUUCAUUGUAUGAUUUACGUGAAUGAUGUUUUAUGCAAGUGUUUAGAUAUUUGAUGCAUGCCUAAAAUGUUUUUCUUAUUGUUAAGCUAUAAUAUUUUAUUUCCAAAAGUCUAAGCAUGCCUUGUGUUUGUGCGUGAAUGAUAAUGCUUUUAUGAUAAUAAUUAAAGACGUGUAUAACUUGUUUGUACGUGAUUUGUCUUGACAUAUGGUUCAAUUAUUCAGAAUUGGACUUAUAAAGAUAGUAUGAGCUAAUCACUACAAGAAAAUAGCCCUUUAGCAACAUGGUUUUUAGUAAAACAUUAUGCCGUCGCGAAAGGUGAGUCUCUCGACCAUUUCCUAUCAAACUCUUUUCUUUGAUACAAAAAUAGCAUUAAUAUUCAUUUUUAAUCGUACACCAUUUUUUAGACUAUUACUUAUACUAGUUUAUAACCCGUGGAAAUGACGAUUAUAAAAUUAAUCAAACCUUUAUAGUAAAAACUAAAAAUUAUUAAUAAGUUAUUUUAAAUAAAUUAUUAAUUUAAGAGAUAUUUUUUAUUAGUUAUGUGAAAUUAUAAUCAUUGAUUCAAAUAAAUAUAUAAAAUUAAUUUUUAAUAUAUAUUAGAUAUUUUUUAUUUGUAAAUUAAUGAAAACAAUAAUUUAAAAUUUAAAAUUUAAAAUUUAAAAUAGAAUCACAUUAAUGAGGGGGUCUAAUAAAUUUAAAAUGAAAAACUAAUAGAUUGACAAGUGGCAAUACAUUAAUUAAAAUGUCUAAUAUGAUUACACAUGACAAAAGAGCUACUCUUUUAUUACUAUAGACUAGUAAUACCAAAGGUAUAAUAAUAUAUAUAAAUAACCUUUAAAAAUUAAAUAUUAUCCAAAACACUUUUCGCAUUAUUAGCUUUUUACAAUCAAAUUUAUGCUACUUUUUUUUUGUAAACUAUUAUUUAAUUUAACAAUUCGAAUUAUAAUUUUAUUGAGACAAUAUCAGUUGUUUCAUUGAAGUAAAUAAUGAUAACAAACAAAUAUUACAUAACCAAAUGCCUAAGUGUUGCGGCUAAUUUUAGACUCAAUAAUAUGUAGAGUUUCUGUCCAGUGUUGGUUUCAUUGUGCACACUUCAACCUUUUGUUGGAGUGUCACAUGUUCAUUUUUGUUAGUGCUUCUAAUUUCAGUCUCACCUUGAGGCUUAAAUAAACUUUAUUUAUGUGUUUAUGACGUCCUCUCGUUCCUUUGAGAGCGGGACUUGUCAGUGUCAUUUUUCGGGGGUUUCAUUGUUGCCCAAAUAGUACUGUUGGAAGUAAGGGGAUUUCCCGUAUGAUAUCUCAUCUCAAGAACUUACACCUCCAUACAGAUGAAUGCAAAACUGUGUUAUAAGAGGCUAUUACUUCUAACCAUUGAUUCUUUGUGUGUGGGGUAGCAACUUUGAAGGAAUUUGGUCAAUGGAUAUGGGAGAAUUGCAUGAGGCUUCAUGCCCUGAGUCAUUCAUGUCACCACUCGGGUGGCCUGAUUAAGUUUAUUGACGGGGCUGAUGACAUGAGCAGCAUAUUGUUGGCAUUCUAAAGCCGCCACCCAAUGGACCAGAGGCCGACCUCAAUGGUGGGUUGGUGAUGGAUGCUCAACUACUUGAUCUUGUUUUUAAACUACCUAUCACCACCGUCAAAAGCAUCCCUCAUAAUUGUCAUAUGGAUUUCUCCCAGGCUUUGAAAGCAGCCAUUUCCAAGGUGGAUGCUCAUCCCGGGUCCGUUGAAGUGUGGGUUGUUUUGUUAAUUCUUCCUAGGUGUAUUCUUCAAGUGUUCAUGCCUAAGAAUAGGCAAGAAAGUAGGUUUGGCAACAGGAAGUCUUUACAACUUCAUAAUAUCCUGAGCACGUUAGCUAUUUGGGGGAUUGAAGACGGUAUUGCUAAGCUAGUUAAAAACUUAGUUGACAAUGUAAGACUGGAGCAACAAGGCAAAAACGAAGAGUACAUUCAGGAGGAACGAACACUGGGAAACAACCAAUUUCAGACAAUGUGUUCGUAAUGUUGUUGAUGGACAUUUUACCGUACCAGUGAAAUUUUGUGUUCUUUGGGGGUUGCUUCAUUUCGGCGGUGAUACCACGAAGGCAUUAGAGGAUAAGCAUCCAUACAAGCCACUGCCUUCCACGCCCAACACCAUAUUUUCAGAACCUCCCCUUGUAGUGGAUGUUGACAAUGUCAUUAGGGGAAUUAAAUCAUUCCCUAAAGGUACCUCGUGUGGGAGAGAUGAGUUGAGAGCUCAACACAUUUUGGAGGCUCUUUUUGGAGAAGGUUCAGAUAUAGCCAAAGACCUCAUACAGGUUAUUACAUAUGUAGUUAAUCUAUGGCUAGGGGGAAGAUGCCCUUCGAGUUUGGUAGAAUUUGUUGUCUCUUCUCCUUUCAUGCCACUUUUAAAACAUGACAAGAGAAUACGACCUAUUGUGGUAGGUACUAUAUGGAGAUGUUUGGUUUCCAAGUUGGUUGUGAAAGGUGUUGGUAAAGAAAUGGCCAAGUAUCUCAAUGAUUUUCAGUUGGGGGUCGGGGUGUCGGGUGGUGUUGAUGUCAUAUUACAUAGCGCCAAUAGGGUGUUGAGUGAGCGCCACGAUGACAGAUCUCUUUCCAUGCUUACCGUGGACUUCUCUAAUGCCUUUAACCUUUUCGAUAGAUCCACAUUACUUUAUGAGGUCAGAUUGAGGUGCCAUUCUAUAUCCUUGUGGGUAGAAUUCCUUUAUGGUCAAGCAGCAAGGUUGUAUCUAGGCAACAUACAUAUUUGGUACAUUACUGGGGUUCAUCAAGGAGACCCCUUGGGACCAUUUCUCUUUUCCCUUGUGUUGCACCCACUCUUGCAUGAUAUUAGAGACAAUUGCAAGCUUUUUCUCCAUGCAUGGUAUCUUGAUGAUGGAACACUUAUUGGAGAUUCAAAGGAGGUCGCCAAAGCGUUGGAUAUCAUUACGGUGAUUUUCCCAAAAUUGGGCCUUCAGCUGAAUAUCAAGAAAACCAAGCUCUUUUGGGCCUCAUGUAAUUGUAAGAAGCUACAUGAGGGACUAUUCCCGACUGAAAUCGGGAGGACACCUUUGGGGGUGAAACUUCUUGGGGGAGCUGUUAGUAGAGAUGCUACUUUCAUUAGCAACUUAGCCAUAAAGAGAGUUGAAAACAUUGUGAAUUUGAUGCGCCUUCUUCCACAGUUGUUUGACCUCCAAAGUGAUCUUCUUCUGCUUCGGUCUUGUAUGGGAAUUACUAAGCUUUUCUUUAUGUUGAGGACGUGCCAACCCGUUCACACGGAGGAGGCGACAAUAUUCUUUGACAAUGGGUUGUGAGGGGCGAUUAAGGACAUUGUGGUUUAUGGUGGCCCUUUCUUUGGCGAUAUAUAGUGGAAAAUUGUUUCCUUACCCAUCAGGUUUGGUGGUUUUGGUUUAUACUCGAUAGUAGAGGCUACCUCAUAUGCUUUUGUUGCCCUAGGGGCCCAAUCUUGGGUAUUACAAAAGCACAUCUUACGGGAUAGCGACAUAUAUGGUAUGGAUUCUGAUUAUGAUUGUUUCGUGGCUUCUUUUCAUAACAAGCUUCCGGAUAUUGGCCUUAGCACUAAAGACACCCCUCCUAAAUCCCAGAAUACACUGGCGGGUGCCCUUUUUCGUAAAACUGUCCAAGAUAUGGAAGUGCAUAUUGACAUGACGGCUUGGUAGAAAGCAAUGCUUACAUGCACCACAUGCUCAUGAUUUUCUUCUAGGUAUCCCUAUAUGGGCUUGGCCAACAUAUGUCUCCCGUAGAGUAUCAUACUAUCCUCAAAUAUUGACUCAUGAUUCCAAUAUUCCCAGCUGAUAAGAUAUGUCUAAUGUGUCGCAAGGCAUGCUUGGACUCGUUUGGAGAGCAUGCAGUUCACUGUAAAGAACUCUCGGGGUUCAAAUAUAGGCAUGAUAUGGUUAUGGAUAUUUUGUUUGACAUAUUUAAGCAUGUCGGGUUUCAGCCAAGAAAGAGGCACCUGUGAAUUUCUUGACUGAACGGCUAACAUUUUGAUUUUUGGAUGGGUCGGAGGGAAACACACAUGUGUGGACCUCACAGGGUUAUCCCCUUUCAUGGGCUUGAGGGUUAGGGGUUUCAUGACGGGAGAUGAUGCUUUAAAAGUUGCUACAGGCAAAGUCACCAAACAUGAGAAAUCGUACAUGGAAAAUCAACAUGUGUUCAUACAAUUUUGCAUUUGAUAUGUUUGGUUUCCUCGCGCCGGAUGCGGUGAAGCUUCUUAAUACAGUACAAGGGAUCAUGCACAACAAUGUUAUAUGCCUUAGAUCUAUGGAUGUAGUCUUUAGACGAAUUAGCUUUACCGUACGAAAAAGCUUAGCGACGCAACUUGUUUCCCGUUUGCCAUCUCACUCAUUGUACGAUGAUAAUUAAAUUAAUAAAAAUGGAGUUAUAUUGGAUUAAAAGAAAAUAUCUAUCACAUACUUAAUAAACAAAACCAAAAAUAUUGUUUUAGUAAAGUGACAUUUUGUUAAAUAAAACAUUUUACCACAUUUUAUACUUGGCUUAAUAAAUAUCAAUUUAAUAUUGACAUAAUACUACAAAUAAUUAAUAAUAUUUCAUUUAAAAUAUACAUAAUCAUAUAUAUAUAUAUAUAUAUAUAUANAAACACAGUCUGAAAAUUUAAUUUAAUUUAAUAAUAAAAACCAUAGUCGAUAAACCUCAUGUAAAAAUCAUAAACAAUGUAUCCCAAAAUAUUAUAACAAUUGUCAAGUAUAUCAGAGUAUAAACAUCUCAGGCUGAACAAAUGGUAUGUGCACCGCAAUCUUCCCAAACUCCUCUUUUGAAAACUGAGUACCUGAAACCAAAACUGAAAACUGUAAGCACGAAGCUUAGUGAGCUCCCCCAAACUACCACAUACCAGACAAUAACAAAUAAAGCACAUACUAGGCCUUGACCACUGCAUCGGACCGAAGUCCAGACUAACUGGGGCCUUGCCUCCUACAUCAGACCGAAAUCCGGACUAACUGGGGCCUUGCCCCUGCAUCGGACCGAUGUCCGGACUAACUGGGGCCUUGCCCCUGGAUCGGACCGAAGUCCAGACUAACUGGGGCCUUGCCCCCUGCAUCGGACCGAAGUCCAGACUAAUUGGGGCCUUACCCCCUGCAUCGGACCGAAGUCCGGACUGACUGAACAUAGCAUAACAUGAUCAUAGCAUAUAACAUAAGCACAUAUACUGCAUACUACAUCGGACUGAGGUCCAGACUAACUAACACACAAACAUGCCUGAAUCACAAAGACAUCAAGCAUAUUGAACUACUGCAUCGGACCAUAGUCCGGAACUACUGCUAUCUAAACGGGCUGACGUUGUGGCCGUAGACCCGUUCCUACUGGAAGGAAACUCACCUGUACUGCUGAACUCGGCCGGUAACCCUCUGGCUGCUAACCGAUGACUCUCCGAAAUGCUGCUCCUCUAGCUCCCUGAGCUACCAAUACCAAUAAUAACACUUAGCCUAAAUUGUCCUCCCGAGGUCAACUAAGUCAAUUCUGGACAAAGUCAACCUUCCCGUUGACUCGACUCACCGAGUUGUUCUACCAACUCACCGAGUCCAUGCUCCUCAAAUCUCAAACAAUCCCCGACUCCCCUCGUCGAGUCUAGUGAGAACUCGACGAGUUCUCCUUCAUUUAACACCUCGGGACUAUCUUCAACCGACUCGCCGAGUCCAUCUUCAUCAGCUAAGGAGAUUGCCUUGGACUCGCCGAGUACCUUCUCGAACUCGUCGAGUACCAUGAUCUUUAUGUCCAACACGGACACAAACUGGCUGAGUCCUUCUCUAACCUCACUCACUGAUCUGGCUCAUAAUAGAAGGGUUUGGGUUUGCGACCCGACUCGCCGAGUCCAUGAACUGAAUCGCCGAGUCCUCCUAGUGACGACUCUAAUCUGUCGAUUUCAGUCUAUACCACACUUCCAACUGAUAGAUCUAGACUCCUUAUGCUAGUAUUGCAUGUAAAGUUGCUAACUUUACGUGCAUGAAAGGGGUUAUGAGGCUAGAACACCAAAUCCAAGCUAAUAAGAAUCUCAAGGUCAAGACAUGGAGCCUUAGCUAGAUAAAGCCAACAACUCUGAGCUUUUAGAGCUCAAAAGUGUCCAUAUCUAAUGUCCAAACCAUCCUCCAAGGCUUAUCACCCGGAUUCCACUUGGAAACGGUCCAAAUGUAACAAAAGAUAAGCUAGAAAAGGGAUCUAGAUGAUUAACAGCCAAGGUAUAAGCUUUAUACCUUCAAAUGAUCUGGAAUGUCACCCAAACUUUGGAUCUAUACUCCUUUCCUUGCUCCCUUUCUUCCACAAUCUUCAAGAUGCACACCAAGAGCCUUAAUCUUCUCACACGAGCUCAAGAAUGAAGUUGGGUGGCUAGGGUUUUGUCUCUGGACAAUGGAGGCUAUAAAUGAAACCCUAUAAAUGAGAAUGAGAUGCUUAAAUAAGGUGCCAAGUCCCGAAAUUAGGGUUUCUCAACCCAGACCAGCCUCGCCGAGUCAGUUUCCCCGACUCGCCGAGUCGGUCACUUAAUUCGUGACACGGGUCACGCUCCGACUCAUUGAGUUCCUCCUUGGACUCGACGAUUUGACUCCUUUAACUAAGGGCUUUUCUUUCCUUUCUUGGUCUUUCAGAUUCUGGGUGUUACAACUCUCCCCCACUUAAACUAGACUUCGUCCUCGAAGUCCGCUACAUCCAACUGUUCUGCAAUCUGCUUUCAACACUGCUGCUGAAAGAAUCUAACUUUCGCUGGCCACUUCCAUUGACCUUUCCCCUGGUCAUUCACACUAAAACUAAUCAUUGCAGAUAACAAUCCUCAAGUGCACUAUAAUUUCCACCAAUGAUCAUGAGAAAUCAAUUUACUCAACUAGCCAUCCUUCACAAGGCCCUAAAUUCUGCAGAUGAACGAAUUCCUUGCAACAAGAUCACAUCUACUCCGUCUGAGAUAUGUUGUCUCGAGAUGGUCUGAAUCCCUGACAGACCACUCAUACUAAAUCAUUAUAGAUAAACCCCGCGGGGGGUGACUUAGCAUUAAUCGACAAUCAGUUACGCUUACCAGACAUGAGAUCCUCAAAUACCAUUACCGCUGGAGACCCAAAACUGCCUGAAACACUGAACUGCCUGAACACUAAACUGCCUGAACCACUGACUGCCAGAAACACUGAACCGCCUGAACACUGAACUGCCUGAAUACUGAACUGCCUGAACCACCAUGCUGCUACAUGGCUGCUUUCCAACAUCAAUCGAGACCUUCCUCGUCUCAAUUCAUUCGUCAGUCAUCUGUAAUAUCGGGUUCUAGCCCAGCUGCGGAGCUAAAGGACUCCCUAUUUAGUCGCCUCACACGAAUUCUGAAUAAAAUUCUUCUCUGGAACUAGUUGCCACUAGUUAUCAUGUCACUGAGACUCUAACAACCACCUGAUCCAACCGAUCGGGUCCGUAGGUCGAAUCCUGAUGUUACCAGACCACGGCUAAACAUGACUGCUACAUGACCAAUUGUAGCCUUAUGUCAUAAAUGACCUUAAGUCGUCCACUACUUCCUUGAUCUCAUAGCUGCAUCGGUGCUUCUACAGUCUUAUCUCUGGCUUAACCAGAUCUAACCUAUCUGAGUAAAUUUCAAAAAUCCAAUCCGUGGAUUUCCAUCUCCUCACUGAUACACCCGAACUGGUGGGUACUACCGUCCUUCCUGCAUCCUAACCACGGACUCACGUUGUCUACUAACCUAGUGAAUGCUACAACUACUCCCGCAGACUUACAACACUCUAAUACUAUCUGACUGAUAGUGAAUGCUACAGAUACACCCGCAGACUUCCAACACUCCAACACUAUCUGCCUGUAAGUGAAUGCUACGUAUACACCUGCAGACUUACAUCACUCUAAAACUAUCUGGCUGCUACUGAAUGCUACGGCUACACCCGCAGACUUACAACACUCUAACACUAUCUGGCUACUAGUGAAUGCUACGGAUACACCCGCAGACUUACAACAAUCUAACACUAUCUGGCUGCUAGUGAAUGCUAUGGCUACACCCGCAGACUUACAACACUCUAACACUAUCUGGCUACUAGUGAAUGCUACGGAUACACCCGCAGACUUACAACAAUCUAACACUAUCUGGCUGCUAGUGAAUGCUAUGGCUACACCCGCAGACUUACAACACUCUAACACUAUCUGACUGCUAAUAAACAUUACGGGAACACGACCUCAUUAUUGGCAAGUUUUUCCAAACUUCCCUCUCACACUAUCCUCAAAUCAGACAGCUUCCUGGGCUGUCUCCCUUUUUCUGAAAAGGAUGCGAAACUUAUCCCAGUUUCAAAACUGCUCCUACUUCUGAAUCCUUGGAUGAUUCUCCCCCACUUUGAUUCAACUAACGUCUUACAGCACACAAUACUAGAAGGAUUCUCAAUCCUUCUUACCAUUCUAUGCGCAAUCUGCUGAAAACCACACUUACCAUUGCUAGUGUUGCAAUACUAACCAGUCCAAGAGAUCAUCACACCACUUCCAAUGAUCUGAAUACAUCUCCGGUGAUAACCUGCUAAACCCAGGAGGCUCCGAAUCCCAAUUGGAGACCUCGGAAACUCCCACUAUAUCAUGACUUUUAUCUUAUCUAUAAAGACUAGAAUACCCUUCUGAUUGACAUGGUACCUAAACGAUUGCACCUCGGACAACCGGAAGUCAUAUUUGGAGUACUUUGCAAAAAGUCUCUCCCUCCUCAAAGUCUCUAGCACCUCCCUCAGGUGCUCCUCGUGCUGGAAUAUAACCAAUCUAUACCCGAACCACACCUUCCCGAAGGUAGUGAGAUGCUACUGAGUCUCACACAUACUUGCUACUGCUACUGCAAUCUAGUGCAGCUUGAUCUUGACUUCCUGCGGAACAAUAGGCGCCUGAACCUGGACUCUCUCCACCACCAAAACAGGACAACAAGACUUGAAAUGACCAGGCUGGUGGCAAUGAAGACAUAUUUGAUCCUUCUUACAAUCUCGAUACACAUGCCCCCUUUCCCCGCACUUGAAACACCUAAACUUGUGACAACCAAACCCAUGAGUUCCUCCACACUUACCACACGCCUCAAGGUCUUCCUGAUUUCCAACAUCCAAGUUAGCUGAGUAUGACUCUUCACUUCUUCCCAAUUGUCCUGAAAUAAGUGCUCGCUUCCUUUUACCGUGCUGCCCAUCCAAACCAAUCUCCAUCUCCCGAGCUACCCCGACUACCUCAUUAAUCGAUUCAGUAGUCGCUAACUGACCCUGAAUCUUAGCUACUAGCCCAAUAUUUUCGGGUAGUUCUUGGCGUACAGCUCGCGACUCCACUACAGACAACUGAAACGCCCUGCUUCCUACCACAGGCGCCUCUACCCGACCCUAAUGGUCGUCGGUGAUCCUUAAAGUGGCAGGGACAGGUGAUAUCAUAUGUACUGCCGGAAACCAACUCGGACACUAGGCCUUCCUAUGUCCCCACUGACUGCAAAGGAAACAUAUCAGAUCUGACCCCCGAGUGGUGGUAAUAGCACAAUCUCUUCUAAAAUGAGCAGUCCGUCCGCACCUGAAUCAGCCAGAAUCACCACCAGUACCACUCCUACACGUACUCUCGUGCGUCCUGGCCGAAUUUUCGCAUCGGAUGCGGCUCUGAUAAUCCCUUUAUCUCGAAUCUGAUGCCUUGGACCUUUUUCCUGAACCCGUCGUUACCUGAACCUCUUCUGGCUUCCUCUUCUUGAUCUGCUCCAGAUCAAUCUCCCUCUCACUGGCCUGAGCAAUCAUGUCCUCCAGCUCUUUGCAGCUGGACCUGCUCACAAACUUCCUGAUGUCAUAUCUCAACAUUUCAUGAUAUCAAGCUUUCUUCAUCUCCUCGUUCGCCACAUACUGCGCAACCGAGAGAGCCCUCUCCCUGAACUUGGCGGUGAUCUCCGCCACCGUCUCAGUAGUCUGCUGAAGAUCCUGGAACUCUGGUGCCAACUACUGCACCUCAAUAGCUGGUGCAUACUCAUCCCUAAACCUAGCCGAGAAAUCACUCCAUGACAUCGCGUCCAAAUCAACAUCAUCCCCCAAGGCAUGAACAACCUCCUCCCACCAAUCCCGCACUCCACCCUUCAGAAGACAGGAGGCGAGUCUGACCUUGUCCCCCUCGGGACACUGGCUCGCGCGGAAAGCGUUGGCAACAUCUGCCAACCAUCUGCUGCUAACAAUGGGGUCCCUAUCCCCAUGAUAAUCUGGUGCUCCACAAGCUCUAAACUCUCGAAAUGUCAACGUACUCGCUCCUAUCAAAGCCAUCAUCUCUGCGAGAAAGGCUCCAAGCCUCUCAUCCAAAAUCUCUAUUAUACACUCCUUGACCGUGCCAAAGAUCUCAUGAGUCGGGUCUAAGAUACUGCAUGUGAUCUCAGCUGAUACAAACUCUCUCAUACGCUCCUCGAGCUGCUCGAUCCAUAAACCCGAGCUUGAUCCCUCUCUGGCGCCUGAUCCGCCCACUGGCCUUUCACACAACAUCACCAUGUUGAAAGCAUAUCACUAUAACUAUCAAAAUACACUUCACUGCUGAAGGAUUCCACAUACACACUACAAGUUCCCUGGCUUUGUCUUGGCCCCUCUUGAAUCGAGUACGAAUUCUCUGCUUUCAGUAGUACGAGCGCAUACUACCUUCCACAUCUAUCCGUACUUUCUUCAAGAACUGCCUUGACUCUACCAAGUCCCUUCUACUACUACUGAUCUCUUCUACUCUCAUCCUAGGCUUGCCCUAGGGAAAAUCUCUGACUCUACCUAAACCAAUCCUCAACUGCUGCAGGCCUCCUUGGAAUGCCAAUUAGCCCUCACCUGAAUAACAUCACAUUUGAUGAGGCUCAGAUAAUCCUUCGAGUAAAAGACUCGUCCCUACAACGGUUAGACUCAGACGAGAGCUGAUCAAUAGGGCCAAAUCCAGCACUUUGAGAUUAUUCAACCCUGAUCACAUGUGACGUGACGUAUUUACCUGAUGACUAACUCCCAUCACUCAGAUUCCUACAAAGCACAAAGCAAGCAGCAUUCGGACACAGGAAACUACUUAAGCAAAUCUAUUCUCAUAACGAGAAACUGUACUAGCAUACAAUACUAAGCUCAUACUAUCAGGCAUAACCUAAACAUGCUAUCCUACUACUGUCUACUCAAUACUAGGAUGUAAUUUUCAUAAAGCUGAAACACAUAUAGCAGGCACAUAAGGCAUCCUCCUAGAUCAUUACUCCUAUUCUAGCAUGCUGUUCUACUGAAAAUGAAACUGAUAAUCAUAACAUAAACUUGUAUGGGUAAUUUAGGAGUACUUACUUGAGCUCGGCUGAUUGCAUGCACCACACCCUUUUCUCUUUUCAAAAUUCUUUUCGCUUUCUCUAAAACUCUUUUCUUUAUACUUUUCUAAAAUUGUUUUCUUUUCUUAAAAUCCUUUUGUAAACAAGGUUUUUCUCUUGAAAACUUUAUACCACUUCCUUAGUUUGAGUUCAGACACACCCAAAAGUGUGCCCGAAUCCCUCAAACCAACGCUCUGAUACCAACUUGUAACAUCCCAAAAACACAGUCUGAAGAUUUCGUUUAAUUUAAUAAUAAAAGUCAUAGUCGAUAAACCUCAUGUAAAAAUCAUAAACAAUGUAUCCCAAAAUAAUUCAACAACUGUCAAGUAUAUCAGAGUAUAAACAUCCCAGGCGGAACAAAUGGUGCGUGCACUGCAAUCUUCCCGAGCUCCUUUUUUGAAAACUGAGUACCUGAAACCAAAACUGAAAAUUGUAAGCACGAAGCUUAGUGAGCUCCCCCAAACUACCACAUACCAGACAAUAACAAAUAAAGCACAUACUAGGUCUUGCCCACUGCAUCAGAUCGAAGUCCAGACUAAUUGGGGCCUUGCCCCCUGCAUUGGACCGAAAUAAGGACUAACUAGGGCCUUGCCCCCUGCAUCGGACCGAAGUCCAGACUAACUGGGGCCUUGCCCCCUGCAUCGGACUGAAGUCUGGACUAACUGGGGCGUUGCCCCUUGCAUCGGACCGAAGUCUGGACUAACUGGGGCCUUUCCCCCUGCAUCAGACCGAAUUCCAGACUGACUGAACAUAGCAUAACAUGAUCAUAGCAUAUAACAUAAGCACAUAUACUGCAUACUGCAUCGGACCGAGGUCCGGACUAAGGGCUUUUCUUUCCUUUCUUGGUCUUUUGGAUUCUGGGUAUUACACAAAAUAAACACAUGAAAAUUUGACACCAUAUUCGUGUAAAAGAAUAUACAACCUAAUUUUUUGUAUGUUAUUUCAUCUUUACACCAAGAUGCCACAAGAAAUAGAGUUUAGUUGCAGAUGAGUUUAAAUCAAAAAAUAUAAAAAAAAUAAGAUUUUGGGUGAGGUUGGAGAUGAGAUUAGUGCAACACCCUUUGUAUAGACUAGUUGAAAAUGUAAUUUCUUAUAAAAUCUUUUAAAAUAAUCUUUGUUAAAUUGCGGAAUUUGGUCCAAAAAACAUCAUUUUUAUAGUUUAAAAUCCAAAAGUUAGGAAUUUCAAAAUACGAGGGUAUUUAAAUUCAUAUAUCUUUACAAAAGUUUAAAUACACUAUAAAAUUUAUGACAACUCUAUUUCCUCCACAUUUGGGAGUGAAUGUCAAAAUAAUAUAUUAGAUUUGAGAAGCCUAGUGAGUAAUACUGGAAUCCGACUAUGAAAUUGUAUUGGGUAGUUGUAAUAGCCCAACUCCUCAGUCAUGAUCCCUAAAUACAUUUAUAAAAUAUUUUCUGAUGAGUUAUUAAACAACUCUUUGAUCGAUUAGAUCUUUGUAACAGGUAAGUGAUGAACGUAAAAAUAGUAAAAACAAAACACAAGUAUGAUUCAGAAUGUGUCGAAUGAUUAGAUUACUCGAUCCUCAGCAGAGCUCGACUAAGAACUUCCACUGUAGAGGAUUCUAGGGUUACAAAAUAAGAACGAUGAAUAUGCUGAACAAUACUUUUCUAAUCGUUUCUAAUCAUUAUGUUCUAGGAUGCAUGCAAGCAUCUAUUUAUACUAAACCCUACAAAACUCACGGUUGGACAGGCCCAUACCGGAGAUAUACAUUGGACUAGCUAACGAGCCCAAUGGACGCAACACUAUACUGAUCCUAACAAUCUCCCCCUUUGCGUCAAUUUGGAGCGAGACUAUCAUUUCUUCUUGCUUGUACCAACAGCGAGAGCCUUCUUUACUGUAUCGAACAGACAUGUGAUAAGUGCAAGGAUUGUCUGUCUGAAGCGAAUGUACCAUUGAAUCAUGUCGUCAAAGUACUUGAUAUCAUCCGCUGUGUUCAGCUUGCAUCGAUGGAUGAUCCCUAAAACGUGUUCCAAACAGGCAGUGGUGUAGAGAUGUUUGUCUGCCAAGGCAAAAAGACAUUUUUGUCCUUCGUUUCUGGUAAACAUGACAGAGUUUCUCUUUGGGUCAAUCUUUCCCAUCUGCAUCAUGUUGAGAUCAUUGGCAGAGCCAACAAGAGAUAUGGUAGGCUUUUUCUUGAAUACGCUCGCUAUCUCCUGAUCCAUCAGAGCAACUUCCAUGACAUAGCAUACAAGCAUCCUCUUAAAGUGGUCGAUGAUCGGACCAUAUUCAGCUUCGUUUGUAAGAAGAAUGUUGUGCAAGAUAAUCCAGUCAUGGGGAUUAAGGUUGGGAAGAUCUGCAAGUGAGAUGGCAUGUUCGGUCUUGGCAGAUCCCCGUAGUACCUUGAACCGAACGUUGGUGAAGUUGCCUUCCCUGAACGGCUUUAGGACCCGAACAUUGACGAUUUUCUGAGCGCUCCAAGUUUGGUAUUGUGGUUGAGCUGCCCUCAGAUAAAAUUCGACUAAGUCCCGAUCAACCUGUGGAUGAGGAUGGGGGAACUCAGCAAUGUUGUCAAAGGCAUGAAAAACAAACGCCUUUCGGGUCAGUGGCAUAUCAAACUGAGAGUCGACAGUGUUAGAACAAUCUAAAGAGAUCACAGGUUCUAGCCACAAGAUACUUGGUGUUUCAAUGGCUUCUUUAAUCAGCUUCUCAAGAGUCCAGGGAGGAAAAAAAGUUUUCCUGCUCUCGAGAAGGUCGUGGGCUUCUUUCUGUCUUCUUUCAGCUUCUUCAGCCUCUCUAGCCACACGAGCACUGAUGUCAGCCUCUUUAUCUCGACCCUGUCGUUUCAAAAGGGUGGCAAUUGUCUCCUUAUCAUCUUCAUCACUCUCCUCAGCAAUAUUCUUGCCUUUGUCUUUCACACCAGAACCGGAGGCUUGGCCUACUGGAGGAGGUUCGGUUGUGUGUGUUGUUGUUGAAGUAGGAGGCCGUUGAGACAUAUUCACUUUUUCUCCCCCUUGUUUCGAAAUGGACACGAAAUCAAGGAGCCCUUCAAUUUUGCUCAGUAGAGAGAGGGCGGGAGCAAGCUUCUCUGCAAGGUCACGCCUCACAGAAUAAUUGAGGAUCGGGUCAUGUGCUUCAAGGAUGUUUGAGAUAGCUGAGUGGACAUCCGAAACACACGAUUUAACCACCUCUCUUUCAGAUCGAAGAGAGUCAAUCUCCUGUUGAGAGUUGGAGAGUUGAGUACUCUUGACCUUCAGAGCGGUAGUCUUCCUUGCGAGAGCAUCCAUGAGAGAGUUCUCAGCAGCUAAGUCUUCUUGAAGCUUGGAGAGACGCUCCUCAAUGGUGGUUCUGAAAGCUGAGUUGUCAUCAGAAAUUGUUUGACGAAGUGAAGCGAACGACUUCAGCUCUGAUGCGACUGAGUUAGCCAGCUGGUUGACAAUGGGUUCCAGUUUUGUCGUGGUGGCUUCAGCAUUUUCCUGUAAAGAUUUCAACAAGGAAGAAGCAUCAGUGAAUAGUUUGUCGACUUUUCGGUCGCUGCCUCACAAGCUUUGGUUGAGGCGUCAAUGGCUGCAGUGGCGGAAUCAAGAGAAACUUGAUGAGCUUUGGAAAAAGCAUCAACAAUUUUCUGAAUGGCAGCUUUAGAUAUUGAGGAUUGUGAGGUGGAAGAUGAGGCAAUGAGCGAAUCGAUUUUAUCAUGUAGCUCCUUGAGAUGUCUCUUUGUGAUAGGAGCAUCGUCAUCAUCGUCACUUUGAACUUGAAACGGACUGUAAUAUACCGAAUCAAAGGUCAUGUCCUCCCCGCCAAGAAGUGGUUCUUCAUCCUCUGAUUCAUGAGUAGGAGAAGAUGGUGGUGGUGAAGCUUGAGGCUCGGUAGUAGUAGUAGUAGGUCUGGGUUGGGUGGUUUGUUCGGUUGUUGGUGUGGGUUCGGGUGUUGAGGUGGAUUUGGGUGCGUCAGUAUGAACCCCCCGUAUCAGAUAUGUUGGUUCUAACGUCUGCAGUGGUGGUGGUUGUUGCUUCAGUAAAUAUAGGUGGUGGUACUGGGAUGGAGGUGGAUGGUAUUUGAAUGGUGGAGGUUAUGGGGGGAAUGGAAAUAGGAAUUGUAACUUGUGGAGAGGAAAUAGGAGAAGUGGAAAUAUGAAUCUCUGGUGUAGGCGAUCGUGGUGGAGUGUUACCACGUUGAGAUCCAUCAGAAUCAGAACCCUCUUCCUCAGAUUCGCUUGAGGACGAAGCGAUGAUUAGCUUUCGCCUUGGUUGGGUUUUUUGCUUCUUCACAGGAGGGGAUUGGGCGGCUUUGGUGGGUUUCCUCUUCUUGGGAGAUGGGCCUUUUUCUCCCUUUGCAACCUGCUUGCCCUUAUCAGCCUUCUUUCCUCUGGGGGCAGGCUUGUCAGCAUCAUGAAUCGACUUCAGCAUUUCUGGAGUAAGGUCUCUCGGACCAGACCGUCGGAACUCUUUGUACGUUUGAAUGAUCCGACUGUCGGCAGGAACAUCACCAUACAUUGUUUCAGGGAUUGAACCGUUGAAGGGAAAUCUUGAUGCAUCAGAGAUAAUGAUCUUCGUGGUAUGGAAAGUACCAAUCGAAGACAUUGGAGCACCAACGAAAAUGGGAACGUGGUACUUGUCCAUCACCCAUUUCGUGACAAGAGUCCAGAACCUGGCAUAUGAAAUCUCUGAAUGUCGAGAAGUGGAAGAGAGACUUUGAAUGAGUUGUUGCCAUAGGCCCGACCCGUAGUCCAUGUUGAUACCAUUGUAGAUCCUGAACAUGAUUGAUAGGAACAGACGACUUGCCCCAUCUGAUCCAACACUUCUUUCAGACAAGCCCUUGAAAAUCACAGUAAACAUCCCAUUCCACUGAGGGGGCAGGCACGAUUUCUAGAAUUUCGUGACCGUUGUGAGCACCUCAGUGUACCCCAUGUUGUAGAACAUGUUGAACAGAUGACCCAUCGGAAUGGUUUCAGGAUUAACCCUCGACGAAUCAGGUUCAAACCCUAACAGCGUACAAAACCUCUGCUUGGAAAUCGACGCCUUGUGCUCGAAGACAUCGAAGAAAAUCCUGUCGACGACCUUGUCGUAGUGAGCUGUGGCAAAAAUCUGUGACAGGAACUCCAUGGGAACAGCUUCAGCCCUGGUAAGAGCAGGAGCGAUUGGCGAGUAUUUCAGGCAUUCGAUGAUGGGAAACAUGAACACGUCGUAUGCCUGAGGAGUAAGAUCAAUGAUCAAACUCUGCUGGGGACGAAUAGGCAAGAUGUGAGAAGUUGCGUGAACUGAUGAAGAAUCCACCAUUAUUGUGAUGAAGAUGGGAGAGAUGAUGAACAGUAGAGGUUGAAGGAUUUUCUUGCUCUCUGGAAAUAUAGGUGCAGUAAAGAGGUAAGCGGUGGUUUACAUUGCCUUUUAUACUAUGGGUAAAGGAGAGAGAAGAAUCUUUCCCAAAUCUUCGAUUGAAAAACGAAGAGUUUUUCGGAGGCGUUUGACGCGUGACAGUUGGUGUUGCCGAUGAUUACGCAGGAGAGAGAGUGUCAGUCCCUAAUUACACGCCUUCCCAUCAGGCGCUGUUUGGAGAUGAAACGGUUCCAAUUCGCACACUUUGCCUUCUUGCGCCGUUUGAAAUCAAAUCGAUUGGACUCCCGCCUGAGUCAUCAUUUUGUCAUCUUAUCCCUUUAGAGUUUAGCGACAUCUUUAAAAUAAUGUUGCCCACAUGGAUCAAUAUCAAUCACAACCUUUUUACAACAACCAAUCCAAUUAAAAUGUCUUGAAAUUAAUGAAACCAGAAUUUUGGAAAAUCAAAAAUAUUUUCGUGCUGAGUGUGUAAAGGAAAAAGAAAUAAAGCAACACUUUUGAGGGAUUAGGUGAUGUCAAUAAAGAAGCGAAACAAUUGAUCCCGGGCACGAAUCUCUUCCUUCAAAGUUAAGAGAGACCUUAAAGUGUUUGUGUGGUUUCCCGUUGAAUAACGAUCAGACACUUAUUAAGAAGUGUUGAAAGGCUUCUUUUAAUUAGGCUUAUGAGGGUGGCUUUCGCUUCGAUUCAUAAUUCCUGAUCUUGAUAUAAGAUAGAAAUCGAACGAAGUACUUGUGAGACCAAUGUAGUCUGUUGAACAAGUAGGUUGGAGAUAAUUUAAGUGGCAAGGUAAACUAAUGUAUGCGAAAUCUCAAAAAAAAAAUAAAAAUAAAACUGGAUCCCAAGGGAAGAAAUGUUAUUGGAUUUAACAAUUUCAUAGGAAUCACUCAAAAGAAAAAUAGAGAUUUCAUGUUGUACCCCCAUGGAUAAGUCCGUCAAUUCAUUAGUGAAAGCUAGAGCAAGUUAAUUGUUCACCGUCAAUGCAUAGUAGGUAUUGAAUUGUGGGUUUCACUUAGCACGUAGUGACACGAAGCUAAGAUCAUGAACACAGAAAUUGUGCAACCAUAAACCUCAGUGGUAAUGUCUGAGAGUCUCAAGGGUUACGUUUGUGAAGCGAAUGAGAUGGAGAAAAAGUAAUGUAGAUGGUGUAAAGAGACCAAAGUACCUCUGCUGUGAAAAAUAAGGACUAAGCAGAAAACUCUUAUCUCAUGUGAGAAGAGAGUUAGGUAGCUCAUGAUUAGAAUAAAUAUGAGAGCCUAAUUGGGAAGACAAGGUUUGUUUGUACCAAGUCAGUAAGGCUUUUAUUCAGAAUCAGGUGAGGCUUUGGACACAUACAACAACAUGCUUCUAGGGACACUUAGCUAGUGCAAUGAUUUACCCACAAAGAGACAUACAAAAAGAUAAGAGCCAAAAUGAAAAUAACAUAAAGAAAGAAAAGAAAAAAAAUUAUUUUUCGAGUCUUUGAAUUUUUUUAAAAAAUUAAAAAAUAUUUUUGGAAUUUUUGAUAAAAAGGAAAAUAAGACAUAAAAAAAAUGAAUACAAAAAAAUGUAGUAACCGAACCCGAGCGUUCGGUUUAUUUCGGUUGAGAAAAUUUUGGAACCGAACCCGAGUGUUCGGUCUAUAUCGGGUGAGAAAAUUUUUUGGAAUCGAACCCGAACGUUCGGUCUAUUUCGGUUGCCAAAAAAAAGUUUGAAAAAAGAAAAGAACUUUGACAAUAAGAUAAAUGAAUUUGGAAAAAUAAUACAAAAGAUUUACAACCAAAGAAACUACCUUUGAGUGAUAAGCGAAGAUCAGAUGAUACAACCGAACCCGAGCGUUCGGUUCAUUUCGGUACACCAGAACAAGACCCGAACCCGAGCGUUCGGUUCAUUUCGGCAUACAUGAGAACCGAACCCGAACGUUCGGUCUAUUUCGGUUGCCAAAAAAAAUAAGUUUGAAAAAGAAAAGAACUUUGACAAUAAGAUAAAUGAAUUUGGAAAAAUAAUACAAAAGAUUUACAACCAAAGAAACUACCUUUGAGUGAUAAGCGAAGAUCAGAUGAUACAACCGAACCCGAGCGUUCGGUUCAUUUCGGCAUACAUGAGACCCAAACCCGAGCGUUCGGUUCAUUUCGGAAUACAUGAGACCCAAACCCGAAUGUUCGGUCUAUUUCGCUUCUUACUUUUGAUCUGGAGAGGUAAUUUUUGGUACUGACUCCGAUUCCAUCAUUCCUAGCCCUUGUAGAAUUUUGUUGAAAGAAGCUUCAGGAAGAGCUUUGGUGAAGAUGUCAGCCAGUUGAUCAGUGGUUCGAACAAAAUGAAUUUCGACGUUCCCAUCUUCCACAUGAUCCUUAAUGAAGUGAUACCUCAGUGCUAUGUGCUUAGUCUUGGAGUGUUGCACUGGGUUAUGACAGAUCCUAAUUGCACUUUCAGAGUCGCAAUAUAGUGGGAUCUUUUUCAUAUUGAGUCCAUAGUCCCGGAGCUGGCUUUGGAUCCAAAUCACUUGAGAUGUACAGGAGGCAGCUGCGAUGUAUUCUGCUUCAGCUGUAGACAGAGAUACACAAGUCUGUUUCUUUGAUUGCCAGCUAACCAACUUCCCGUCAAGGAAUUGGCAGCCUCCAGUGGUGCUUUUCCUGUCUAGUCCACAACCUCCAAGGUCUGCAUCUGAGUAGGCUUGAACGAAGAAACCUGAGUUUGAUGGAUACCAUAAGCCGAGAGAGGUAGUUCGUUUUAGAUACCGGAGUAUGUUCUUCACUGCAAGCAUAUGAGGUUCACGAGGAUUCGCCUGAAAUCUAGCACAGUAACAAACAGAAAACAUUAUAUCAGGCCUGCUAGCAGUAAGGUACAUUAAAGAACCGAUCAUCUGGCGAUAUAGCGUAAUAUCGACUGCUGGCUUAUCCAAGGAUGGAGUGAGCUUGGUGCCGAACGCCAUUGGAACUUUAACCUUUGAGUCUCCCAUCAUGCCGAAUUUAGCAAGGAGAGUCUUGGUGUAGGCUUCCUGGUUAAUAAAGAUGCCUUCGGGUCCCUGUCUAAUAUUUAAACCAAGGAAAAAGUUAAUCGGACCCAUUGAGCUCAUUUCAAAUUUAGUCUCCAUCAGCUUUCUGAAUUCAGCUGUUAAGCUAGGAUUCGUUGAGCCAAAGAUGAUAUCAUCGACAUAGAUUUGAACAAUCAUAAGGUGGUUACCUUCCUUCUUACGAAAGAAGGUUGGGUCAACCGAACCUUGUUUGAAUUUGGACAUCUUUAAAAACUUGGUUAGCACUUCAUACUAGGCCCUAGGUGCUUGUUUCAGCCCAUAAACAGCUUUGUCCAGAAUAUAGCAGUGAUUGGGGUACUUUUCAUUGACGAAUCCCGGAGGUUGCUCCACGUACACCGUUUCUUCAAGUUCUCCAUUUAGAAAUGCGCACUUUACGUCCAUUUGGUAGACCUCAAAGUUCUUGUGUGCAGCAUAGGCAAGAAAUAUUCUAACAGAUUCCAGCCUAGCUAUAGGGGCAAAAGUUUCCUCAUAAUCGAUUCCUUCCUCCUGGCAAUAUCCUUUCACCACUAGACGAGCUUUGUUUCUUAUCACAUUGCCUUCCUUGUCCAUUUUAUUUCUGAAGACCCAUUUGAGACCAACAACCGAGGCAUCUUUAGGAGUUGGAAUGAGGCGCCAAACCUUAUUUCUUUCGAACUCAUUAAGUUCGUCUUGCAUAGCUUGAACCCAAUCAGAGUGAUCAAGAGCAGUGUUUACUGUUUUUGGUUCAACUUUUGAGACGAAAGAGUUAAACAUGCAGAACUCUACUUUUGAGAAUAGAGAUGCUUGCUUUGCCUUCAGUUGAGAUGGGGCUAGGACCUUUUCGGAGACAUUACCCACUACCUGUGAAACGGGAUGAUCUCUGGUCCACUUGACAAGAGCUGGGUAAUUUGGAUCAUAGGAUUGAUCCAAUUCAGCAUUUAACAUUUCUUCUAAUUCAGAUUGACUAUCAUUGUCAUAAAACAUAUCGGCAUUCUCCCCCCUCGACUGAUGAGCUUUCAGGUGUAACGUGACUUUCCGGUGCUACAAGACUUUCGGGUGAAAUUGAGCUUUUGGGAGCUAUAGUACCUUCGGGUGCAGUAGAGCUUUCGGGUGCAGCUGGAGAAAAGUUCUCCCCCUCAACUUGAGAACUUGGCUGUUUUGAAGAAAAUGGAUUCUCCCCCUCAACUGAAGCACCGUGCUGAGGAGGUUCAUUUGGAAUUGAUACUCCUUCAUCCAUUUGUUUGGCAGCGUCUUCGACGAUUUGCUUCAGAUGGUUAACUUUGUUGUCUACUGCAUUAGCUUCUGAGAGAGUAGCCUUCUCCAGUUCAUCGAAUAACUCCACAAACUGCUCAAAUAAAUUUGCAAUCGAGGCCAUGACUUGGGUUGUUUGAGAGAAAAUUCUCCAACUGUUUCUUCAGUGGCCUUCAGUUUCUUGACGUAGAUGUCAUCGAAAGUCACAUAAUACGUUUCUUCAAUCUUCCUCGAACGCUUGUUUAAAACCCGGUAUGCUUUUGAAGUAAGAGAGUAUCCCCGAAAAAUCCCUUCAUCGGCUUUAACGUCGAACUUGUUACGAUGUUCUUUAGAGUUGAAGAUAAAGCAUUGUGAGCCGAAUACAUGGAAGAAUUUAACGUUUGGCUUCCUGUUGUUGAUGAUCUCAUAAGGAGUAAGAGUGAAACGCUUAUUGAGAUAGGACCUGUUCUGCGUAAAACAUGCUGCAGCAAUAGCAUCAGCCCAGAAAUAUAGAGGUAGAGAAGCGAAACUUAGCAUGGUUCGGGCCGCCUCACACAAAGAUCGGUUUCGUCUUUCGACAAUCCCGUUUUGUUGAGGGGUGUAGGGGGCUGAGAAGUUGUGACUGGUUCCUUUUUCUACCAAAAAGUCUUCAUAUUCUUUAUUUUUGAACUCCAGCCCAUUGUCACUUCUGAUGUUGCGAACGACUUUCCUCAGUUGCACUUCAACCUGCUUAAUAAACAUCUUUAGCUUGUGAGUUGCCUCAGAUUUGUGUUUCAGAAAGAAUACCCAUGUAAAACGUGAAAAGUCAUCGACAAUAACAAGAAUAUACUUGCUAUCGCUAAUGCUUUCGAUGGAUGAUGGACCACACAAGUCAAUGUGAAUUAACUCAAGUGGUUCAACGACUUUAGUGUUUAUAAUGGAUGGGUGACUUUGAUGACUAUGCUUCCCCAUUUCACACGCAACACACAAAUGUAAUCGAUCAAACUUGAGCAAUGGAAGACCCCGAACAUGACCUCCUGUGACAAGUUUGUUGAUAUCCUUGAAAUUGAGAUGGGAGAGCCUUCGGUGCCACAGCCAGCUUUCGUCAGAAUGUGCUUUGGAUAACAGACAGAUAGCUGGAUUUCCUUUGAUAGGUUUGAGAUUGAGAGGAAACAUUUCGCCUUUGCGCUCUGAUUUGAGAAUCACUCUUUUUGUUUUCUUCUCUAUUAUUUCCGAACCCUCAUCGUCAAAUGAAACUUUAAGACCGGUACCUCCAACAAGCUGAGAUACACUGAUGAGGUUAUGCUGUAGUCCUUCAACGUAUGCAACCUUUCUAAUCGUGAAGUCUCCAUUUGUUAUCAUCCCAUAACCUUUUAUCGUGCCAUAUGAGUUGUUCCCGAACUUGACAUUCCCGCCGUUUGGAAGAGAUCGAAAUUCCCUCAGCUCUUCCUUCCUUCCUGUCAUGUGACGUGAGCAGCCACUGUCAAUAUACCAUUCUUCGUCGAACUGCUCGUCACUGAUAACCUGCAAAAAUCAAGCAGAUUUAGGAACCCAAAGUUUCUUGGGUCCACGUGAGCCUUUCACAGGAACAGGAAUAGUAAGAGAAAUGUCAACAAGAUAUGUUCUUUUUAUUAAAGUUGUUUCAUCUUUCUUCUUAAUAGUGAAAACUUUAAUUUUGUUAGGAUUUGUUACAGUCGGUUUGGAUUCAGGUUCAGGCGUUUGGGCCUUGGAAUGCUUUUGAUCAUUCUUGACUGAGGAAACCUUCGAUUUUCCUUUCAAAUCUGUUGAAGAUUUUGGAUUUUGAGUUUGAACAGAAUUGGAUUUAGAAUGGGGUUGAGAAGAAUUAGAAUGAGAGAAUUUAGACUGAGAUGUUUUCUUGACUUGAGGUUCUAAGUGACCCUUUAGGUUUUGGUCAUUAGUGGGACCGAACCUUCAACCUUGAUAGCUUUUGCUCUCUGAACCGAACCUAUGCUUUCGGUAGCUAGUGCUCUCUGAACGGAACCUUUCCCUUCGGUUGUUAUUCCUUUCUUGCGGCCUGACAGUACUUUUCUCUGACUUUGAAUUUUUGUCAUGAUAAGAGAAAUGGGCGUUUUGAGAUCGCCAAAACUGUUUUCGCUCUGAGAGAUUCUUUUUGUAUCUCAGAUUCCUUUGCUUCUUUUGAUCCUUCAUUUGCUUCGGCUGUCGAUGGAUGUUGGCUUUUUGCUUUUGUUUCCUGUCAGCUGGUUCACUUUUAACAGAUGAUGUUUCGCUUGAAGGAAUGACUUCUUCUACGGGAACUCCUUUUGUACCACUGGUACUUGGCACAUCGAAGUUGUCAGGCUUGUUUAGUGGCUCUGGCACAUAUCUGCCUUUGAUUUUCCAGGACGUUCGCUUUGACAGACCAAUGGUUUCGUCAGCAUUAUGUAUAGAAGCAGACCAGAAAAACUCAUCACAGCCAUCUGCACUAUCUUCGUUUACUAUGGCGGUGAGUUCGGCUGUCUGAUGUUCGGUUACUCCUAUGACCUUANCCAACGGUUUCGUCAGCAUUAUCUAUAGGAGCAGACCAGAAAAACUCAUCACAGCCAUCUGCAUUAUCUUCGUUUACUAUGGCGGUGAGUUCGGCUGUCUGAUGUUCGGUUACUCCUGUGACCUUAUACACCUGAUUUGGUGUUGUUCUCACCUUUUGGUACACAACAGCCUUUUCUUCAAGAAUCGGGGACUUAUUUUGGGACAAACGAGCAAACUCCACAGAAUUUUCAGAAAUAAGAUUUUUGUGGUUUUCGGGUUCGCUCUUGACAAACUCAGAACAGUCAACUUCAUCCUCUACAGAAAUUACGCUCAUAUCAUCAUCCUCAUUAAGCUCAGACGCGUUUUCAACAUCAAUUUUAUUUUCUGAGCUCAAGUUGGCAUUCAAUGAGUCAAAUUUUUGUAUGGUUUCGGUCCUUAGUUUCAGUUUAUCGUUUUCAUCCAAAAGGUUUUUCAGCAUGUCCUUAUGGUCCUUGGACUUUAUAAAAGAUUCGAUUUUGUCCAGACCAUACAUAUAAGUCGGAUUCACAUCAUCAGACGAAACUACACUUUCGCAAUUAUAUGCUUCAGCAUCGAUUUCAUCCUCCUUAAACUCAAGGAAGGGCAAAAUCAUGCGAUGAAUUUUCUGCCCUAUUUCACAGUUCAGAUGAAGUUGAGUGAUGUUAGCAUAAAGACGUUUAGCAAUUAAACAAAAAACAUUUCUCUGUUUCAGAAGUUUUAAAUUGUCUCUUUGUAAAUAAAUGUUUUUGUCCUUAGAUUUUAUCAGCUCCGACUCCUUCAGCUCUAUCCACAUCCUCCGUUCCUCACUCUUGGAUGACACCCUGCUUAUUUGGUCAGUUAGGUUAGAAUUGGUGACCCGUGUUUGAGUUAAACUGCUAUCUAGAUUUGAGAUUCUUGAAUUUAAGCUUUUUAAUUCUUUUUCAUAUGAAUUUUGUGGGACUUUGAAUGAAACAAAAAUGGAUUGUACCUUCUUGAUCAAUUCAUCAAGCUCAUUGAUCUGCACACUGAGAGGUUUUGCUGUGAAGCAUAAGUCCUCUCGCUCCUUGGUGUCCUCUUUCCCACCGUCUGUAUUGUAUCCCCUCAUUUGAGAUACAUCUGUCACCAUCAAACACUUCCCACUGCUUUCAUCACCUCUUGCAACAUACGCCUUUCCAUGAGAUGGCUUCCUGACUUCAUCAUCCUCUGAGUCGGUUGACCAGACCUGCACGCCACCGAACUCAUCAUCCGCUGCCGAACCCUGCACAAUUAAAGCAUUCAUCGAAGGAUUAGUAGCAGCUUUCUUUCUCUUGAUCUCUUCCAGCUUUUUCAUCAACACAACCUCUUCAUCUUUUUCCUCAUCCUUUUCUGCCAUUUUCUUCAGGACACAGUCUUUGGUAUAAUGGUUCUUUCCUCUACAAUAGUAACAGUUCACACCAGAAUCUCCUUCAACUUUCACCUCUUUCUUUGGUUCUUCUGUCUUCGGUUCAUCCUUAACCUUUUCAGAACUGUAGCUUCCCUGCCAAUUUCGGUUCUUAUUGGUAGGGAACCUUUUCUUAAUGAACCUCUUUGGAUUCGACACCAUCAUUGCAUAGUCUUCAGAAGUAAGAUCAUAGUCUUCUAAGUUGAGAUCUUCAUCUUCUACCACACUUUUGCUUUUAGACAGGAGUGCCAAGGACCCCAAACUUGAGACCACAUUUUUCUCUUGCAAGACAAUCUUUUCUUGGGAUUUCAGAAUCCCCACCAGCUUUGCCAAUGAAUAAGAUUUAAAUUGCUCAUGAGCUUUAACAGUGGACACAACCGCUCUCCACUCGGAUCUAAGGCCAUUCAAAAAGGUUACUUUUUGUUCAAUCAGCUUCCUUUCUAUAUCGUGUUUGAUCAUCUUGCUAAGAAGAUGAUUGAAGCGAUCAAACGUCUGAGUAACAGUUUCAUCAGAAUUCUGUUUAAAUUCACCAAACUCAGACAAAAGCAAGGUCUGAAUAGAAUGCUCCAAAUCUUCAUCUGUGGAAUAUAGCUCUCGCAGCCUAUCCCAGAUUUCUUUAGCGGUGCUGCAUGAACUCACCAGCCUGAAUGUAUCUGAUUGAAGAGCGAAUCGAAUCAGUCUCAAUGCUUUAAUGUUGCACUGAAACUUUUCCUUUUCGUCUUGAGCAACAUCCUUUACGUCCUUUAACAGAUCAUUAUACUCUUUCUGAGUUUUAAUGAUUUUUGAUGUUCCUGAGUGAGCAAAUGGUCCAGAUACGAUUGCUUCCCAACUAAGGUAUCCAUUGUCUUCAGAUCCGAUGACAUAAUCUUCAAAAUGAUGCGCCCAGACUUCGUAAUCCUGGGUGUAAAGAAUAGGAAUCUUCGUCGUUGAUCCAAUGCUAUUUGAGAUGUUGAUGGGAUUAGAUUGUGACUCGUCCAUGCUUGAUCGUUUAACCUGUUUGAAAGAUCAGACUUGUAAUAUGUAAUAUUAGGGUAAAACAAAUAAAUGCUGAGUUACGUCAAUUAUGGAAUGACGGCUCAAUAAAUAUUAGUUAAUGUGGAAUAACCCUAAUCGCAAACUCUUUCACAGAAAAGAUGUGUAUGAAUUACACAGCCUCCUGCUCUGAUACCAAUUGAUGAGUUAUUAAACAACUCUUUGAUCGAUUAGAUCUUUGUAACAGGUAAGUGAUGAACGUAAAAAUAGUAAAAACAAAACACAAGUAUGAUUCAGAAUGUGUCGAAUGAUUAGAUUACUUGAUCCUCAGCAGAGCUCGACUAAGAACUUCCACUGUAGAGGAUUCUAGGGUUACAAAAUAAGAACGAUGAAUAUGCUGAACAAUACUUUUCUAAUCGUUUCUAAUCAUUACGUUCUAGGAUGCAUGCAAGCAUCUAUUUAUACUAAACCCUACAAAACUCACGGUUGGACAGGCCCAUACCGGAGAUAUACAUUGGACUAGCUAACGAGCCCAAUGGACGCAACACUAUACUGAUCCUAACAUUUUCAUAAUUAUUAAACCAUUUUCCAAAACAAUUCUCAACAACAUAUAAGUUAAGAGUAAAUAAAACUGUAUUGAAAUGAUGCAAUACACAUGCAUCUAAUAUGUACUCAGUUAAUCUACUGUCAAUGAAGGCCUACACUUUAACAACCUUUGCUAGGGUCUAGUUGGAAUCUAUUUUAAUUUAAAAGUCCAAAUAAGUUGAGAGUUAAAUAUACAUAAAUAACGCGGUCCCAAAACACAAAUGUUUUUAAAUUUAAUGUAGCAAGGUUGUUAGCAAUAAAUGUAUAAAAAACACUUGUUCAAGCUCACCGAACAGUGUAUUUGUGCAUAUUAUUAUACCUUCAACGUGUGUAUAUGUCAAAAAAAUAGGCAAUGGAUCUGCCUACUGAGCAUACCCUAAGUGGAUUCAUUUUGAGUAAGAAGAUAUCAAUCUAGCUUACUUGAAUCGGCCUCUUAAAAACCAUUUUAUUCAAAAUCAUUUCCAAAAAGAUUUAUGGGUUCAUGACCCGAUUCUUAUCUAAAACUAUUUCAAACAUAUUAGGAUCUAUUUUCCCGAAAUAACAAUUAAAGGACUAUUUCAAUAAGUCAAGAUUUAAUGACCCAAAUCAAGUUCAACAAAACCAUUUCAAAUAAGUUGGUAUUUAUGGACCCAAAUCAACUUCCCAAAACAAACAUCAACCUUAAACUAACAUUUUUAAGUUAAUCAAAAAAAUCAAAUAUUGAAUUAGUUGAAAAAUGAGAUAAACAAAUAAAAGAAUUAAUGCUAUGCAACAUGCAACUGUCCUAAAACGCAAGUUUCUUUCAAGAAGUUCAAUGUCAUAAAUUUGAUGGUUAGCUCUCGAGUAUGAAGGAAUGUAUUCAAAACAUAUGAUAUGUACUUAUAAAUGAGUGUACUCCAAACACAACUAAUGUGGAUGAUGCAAGAAGGAGCAUAUUCCAAACAAACAUAUCCUAAAUGCACAUCAUACGCUAGAUAUUCAUAAAUUGUCACUUAAAUACCACACAUUGGGUAGCUAUCUCACUUGUACAUAGUCAAGUUUAUCUAGAAGUCUCUUCCGUUCAUCUUACAUCAUUUUGGGCGAUCAUGUAUGGAUAUAAUGAGGGACUCACACUGGCACCCAUCCUCGAAUGUUAGCACUUGGUAAAUUCCCAAAAUCAUAAGGCAUCAUAAAACCCCAUUUCAGAAUAAAACAACAAUUCAUCAUGAAUCAUAAUUUCAUCAUAAAAAGCAUGUAAUGUCACACCCCCAAACCAAAUUGGUGGAAAUAUUCGGGGGCGUAGGACGUCAUGUCAAGUAUCACAACACAUGUAAUAUAGUAAGCAAAGUACAACAACCAUUUCAUUAAAAAUGUAUAAGUUUUUACAUAAGUUCAAACAUUAAGCAUUCAACAUCAAAAGUAGAUAAAGAAAGAAACAAAGGAUGCAACUCGGUACUACGCGGUCUUCGCAAAAGCUCCUGGAGUGUACCUGUCUACUGGAUUCCUAAGAAUACAAGUUAUUUUGAAAGAGAGGAUCAACAUUUAAUGUUGGUUAGUUCAUAAGUAUUUAGUUAUGGUUGUUUAGUUUUAAAAAAAUGACUGAGUUUACUCCAAAAAGUCCUAUACUUUAUGCUUUUACAACUAAAAAGUAGUUUUACUCCAUAAAACCGUUCCUUUGUUUGUAGAAAACAAUUAAUACAGUAGUACUUAUUAAGCAUGCACUAGCAUGCACUACCAAUGCCAUCACACCCCAAAUAAUAAUAAAGUUAUUAAUUUCGGUUACCUUGUGAUAAGUUUAUAAACCAUAAAUCUAUACUAUUGGUGUAGUGACUACCCUGUAAAUUAAGAUUAUUAAUUAGGGUUACAAUGUGAUAAGGUUGUAACCAUGCUGAUUGACGGCAAAAAACAUGACGACCUUCUGGCGUCGAAACUGUAGAUGUGACAUUUGUCACCCCUUAGCCUUGCCGGUUAGGACUAUAGCUAGUAGUCGGGGUGUGAGAUUGUCUGUCUCGUAUAGAUCUAUACACACGAUGUCUGCUCUCCCUCCGAGAGACUCUGGUUACAGAACGGGAUACGGCAAAUGAACGGUUGUAUCCUGAAGUAGGAUUUAACAUUUUUUUGUUUAUUUGUAUUAAGUAAGGAUUGAAUGUUAUCCCAUUUCUAAAUAAAGUGGCUUUAAACAUGGUGGACUUAUCUAGUAAAAUAGGUAUUUCAUUUGUGUCAUAAAUUAUAAUUACUAUAAUUUAUAUGUUUUAUCUGAUUAGGAUGAUAAUUCAUGAAAGUACCCCUCUACUUAACAUGGAGCAAAGGUGACUAUAUUGGAUUGAGGUAAUUUUUCCGUUCCUAUAUAUACAUAUAUAUAUAUANNNNNNNNNNNNNNNNNNNNNNNNNNNNNNNNNNNNNNNNNNNNNNNNNNNNNNNNNNNNNNNNNNNNNNNNNNNNNNNNNNNNNNNNNNNNNNNNNNNNNNNNNNNNNNNNNNNNNNNNNNNNNNNNNNNNNNNNNNNNNNNNNNNNNNNNNNNNNNNUAGUAGUUUAUCGUUCAUAUACUUUUCUAACAUGUAUAACUAAGGAUUAACUGACAGUCGGAUGAUUGAUCCUACCCUAAGCCCACAACCAAACAAUGAACAGGAGUUAAGGCGUUACCAAUGAUCCUAACUUUGUUAAAGCUUACUUAAACAUAAAUAACUAUAUGAACAUGAUUUAAUAAACUAAAGUUUUGAGAAGUUUAAAAGAUAGUUCAAAGUUGUUUCUAACAUUUUAAAAGGUUUUAACCUGACUUAAGGUCAUUUUAGAAGUAUUUGGAGAUCUUCUAUUAUUAUCAAAAUCUUUAUAACAUGAAUAAAGUCUUUUUGGUGAUUUAUAUUAUAGAUAAAAUAUUUAACACAAUUUGUUUGUGUUCAACUGAUAUCCCCCCCCCCUAAAAGCAUUCAAAAUCAUUUAAAAAGGUAGACUAUAGGGGUAUGAACUCACCUUUGGUGGAAGUUUUGUUUGAAGACUUGAAUAAGAGUGCUAUACACACGAAUGAAGUCUCGAAGCACAAACGGAUUGUAAUCAUCAUAUAAUGAUACAUAUAAGCAUGAUAUUAGUGUUUAACACAACUAACAUGCAAGGAAACAACCUUAGGGACUAGGAAACACUGGAAAUGAAGUGUCACAAUCACAUGUGAUUGAUCAAGGUGAGUGUACGGCCAAGGGAAUGUGUUUAUGGCCAUACCAAGUGUGUAUGGUUGUACACACUCCAAGAAUGGCGAAAUCUGGAUCUUGAUGCAUGAGGAUUCAAGGGUUCAAGGGUAAUAAGCAUCUAGAAGUGUUUGAGGCUCAAGGUUAUCACCCUAAUAAGGGUGUACGACCAUAGAAAGGGGGUACGACCGUAUACUCUUGUUGAUCAUGAGUCUUAUGGUGUUUCAAGGCUAGAAUCAAGGCUUUAACAUGUCUAACUAGAUGAUAGGGUAAGAACUCUCACUUUAGAGGUCUUUUAGGGUGUGUACGACCAAUGAUCCUAUGAAGGGUUCACAGUCGUACACCCUUCAAGAUCAUGAGGUUCAUGUUGAAACAUGAAGAGUCAGGGCUUGGACCAAGAGGUCUUUCAAGUAUAACAAGUUUAAGGAUGAAACACUUACGUUUUUUAGGCUUUGGGGGGUUCACAGUUGAAGCAAGUUGAGAGAGAAUGGAGUUUUGUACGGCCCAAAGAAGAAAGGAAUGAAGAAAAUGAAGUGAUCUAAUAUGUAUAGGGGUGGGUGUCCGACCAUCUUGAGUCUACGUGCAUACACCCAUGUGUGUGGCCGUACACACCUCUAGAUGGUGUGUUUGGCUUGAAUGCAUUGUGUACUCAAUUUUAUUCAUCCCUAAACCCAAACCUUGAAUGCACUAGGCUUAAAGCACUAAAACCGACCCUAAACAAUGCUAGAAGAUAGCAGGAGCGAGUUUGUCUUUGGAUUGAUUGGCUAGAUUUAUAAGGAAAAAAAAAUUUCGGGUUGUCACAUGUUAUCAUAAAACAUCAAUUUUCUUUUAAAAGAAAUAUAUUUAAAUAUAACAUAUAAUAACUCAUCAUAAAUCAUUUUUAUCAUUAUUCCAACGUCUAAAGGUAAUCCUAUUUAUUUCCAAAAUCAUUUUUGUAUAAAACUUCCCCCUUGUAUUUACGCAAAUCAUAUAGCAUGUAAAAGCAUAUGAAGAGCACCAAAAAAUUCAUGGCAUAUUUGUAAAUCAUAUCAUGUGAAAACUUUUUAAAGGAAAGUUCAUAGUUUGGGAUAUAUGCUCGUAGUAAAGUCACCUUAGUUCAAUGCAAACAGUAUCACACUCUUGAUUACUUGACUAGACUUCUCCAAGCUUUAUAUUUUCAAGUCAGCACCCAAAUUCAUUAUCUUAAUGUUUUCAAAACACCAAUAUACCCUUGUUUGGGUCAACUCAUCAUUGUAUAGAGAUCCUGUGACAAUUGGGAAAACUUUGUCACUGACAGCCGUUAGAAAUUACCAUAGAUAAAUAAAUAUAAAUAUGAUUGAGUAUACGCUUACAUAUGGAGAUAAAUCAAAUUAUAGUCUCAAAGAUGAGUGUCUAAAAGUUGUACCAUCUUUUAAGUUGGUUAAUAUAUUCGGAAAGUACAUGACAAUGUGAUUCUAGGGAUAUAUGCUUCUUAAAAGUAUAACUAUGAUUGGAAGAGUUCUGAUUUUAUAAAAAGUAAAAUCAACUGCGUAAUUAAAAUUAUUAACGUCAAAAGAGGAUUAAGAAAUCGGUCGAGUUUUGGCUAGUGUCAUCAAAAGGAAAGUCGUAGUACUUCUCGAGAUGUGAACAUUAAGACAAAGAAUGUCAAAAACGGAGUCCGUUUGAGGAAGAUAUGAUUAUUAUAAAAUCAUUUAUAACCCUAUUAGUCCUAAAGGAUGAAAGUCAAAACAAGCCAAAAACAAUCAAAAGGGAAGUUGUAGUACUCAUUGAGCCCAUCAUAUAGACUGAAAGAGGGUAAAGAUCAAAGCUCAUACGCAGAGGUUAUGAUUUUUCUAAAAUAAUUUAUAUGCGUGUGUCAUGCACUGUGACAUCCCCAAAAUCUCAGCCAAAAAAGACUGAUUUUCAUUCAUGCUUUUAAAAUAUUUUCAGAGUAAAUCCUUUUGAUUUGAAAGAGUUGCGGAAUUUGUUCCCAAAAACAAAACAUGAUAAAACAAUGUUUACCAAAGCAUUUCAUAAAAGAAAUGUAUUUUCAUUAUAAUCAAAACUCGGGGUGUCAUGUUCCGAUACAGACCAAUAAGCAUAAACGAUAACAUUACAAGUCAUUCAACAAAUAUAAACAUAUACAGACUUGUAAACAAAACAACUUGAUGGUUCAUCCAUCUUAUGCCCUCGCGCCACUUCUUGUAGUACAAAUAAAACUGAGUGGGUCCGGCUUGGGAGCCUGGUGAGCAUAUAGGGUUUUCAACCCACAAUAAAUAAUCAUAUUUAAUUUUCACCAACCAACAAUAACCCAAUUACCCAUUCCCGUUAUUCUCACUUUAUGUCCCUAAAACAACUAACAUAAGGGACCUAGUCUAAGAAUAUUUCAUCAGGGUGACAACACAUGCUUCGGGGGUUCCUCAGCAAUAUAAUUCAAAUAAGGCAACCAUGAGGGGGAUGGAGUACAACGAAUGAACACCCAAGUUCAUUAACACCUACAGGUGGCGAACCUGCUAAUGUUUCCACAAGACUAUCUAGAAAAGUCUGUGGUCGUCAUCUAAACUCCGCUAGAUGACUAAAUCAAACAACAACGAGGCCUCUCAUCUGUUUAUUACACACCAACUAUCUACCCAUGUUCUACCCAACAUAUUAGUAGAUAAAAAUAUACAUUUGUAUACAUAGUUUAAAAACCUGUAUAGCAUGCUUUAAUCAACACAUAUUUCACAUAACAGAUGAGGCACACACACACAUAACACAUAUCUCAUAGAGAAUAAAUCAUAUCUAUGAGUUAGAAGAAAGUGAAUACACAUUCACACACAUAACCACAAAAUUAUACACAUAAUACGUAUUCCGUAUAAAAUACUUCAUAAUUAUGUGUUAGAAGAAAGUAACUACACACUCACUUGAUCAGAAGAUGAUCGGACAACACUACGACUUGCAGAAGUAGUAAUCCUCAGCAGAUCUGGAAGAUCUUCACAAAAAUCGAACUUCUCGCGGGCAGAGCUUCGGCUCGGGAACCGCACUUCUCGGGAUCUUCGGGAUCUCGGGACUUGCCUCGGGGCUUGAGUAUGAUACCGGGGCUUCGGGAUAUUUCUGGCACGCAAAACGAUGCAAAACAGGAGAGAGAAGAGAGAAAAUGAACAAAAGACUCGGCUGCCUUCGGAUCCUAUUUAUAGGAAGCUGGAGCCUCGGAGUACGCGGGGCGUACUGCAGUACGCGACGCGUACUGCUUCCGAAAUCGUCAUUGCAUGCAUCAUCCAAGCCACUUGCUGCGAGUGUCGACACCUUCGGAGUAUGCGGGGCGUACCUCGGAUCAGACCGGUGACUCCUUCGGAUAAUGCUUCCGAAUUUUCAAUUAAAUUUAAUUACAAAAUAUUUAAUAAACUUCGGAAAUUCAUAUCUUCUUCAUACGAACUCCAUUUUCGAUGUUCUUUAUAUCCUCGCGAAGGUGAGACUACGCUCUACAACUUUCGUUUAGACUCCGUCGGCUAAUUUCGACUUUAUUUUUAUUAUUUAUUUUUAAUAGGCCGCGACAGAAAAACUUCGUUAUAAAUUCAUAACUUCUUCGUUUGAUGUCCGUUAUCGCCUAACUUUUUAUCGCUUCGAUACCAACAACCAGACCUUCGAUCCUCGUUUAGAUUGUUUCGACUAAAAACCGCUUGAUCUCAAAUCGAGUGUUUCAGGCUGCACACCGCUAAGUCAAAACUUCAAUAAAUCAUAACUUCCUCAUACGAAGUCAAAUUUGGGCGUUCUAUAUAUAUUCGGAAACCUCGUUUCAACUACUACAACAUUAUUCAAAGAUAUUAAGUUUAUUUUACACUUAAUUUUGACGCUUAUUUUUAUUCUUAAUUAAUCAAAACACAUAAUUAAGCAAUUAAGCACAAAACAUAUAAUACUCAAAUAAUACAAUCUUAUUAUUUCAAAACGGGUUAUAGAAGUUAACCUAGACUAUUACAUUGCUAAAAAUGGCAAGCCCGGAAACACAGGCGUUACAUGCACGCCAUGCACAACGUGCACUAUGACCCCAAAUUUGAGAAGAUUGCUAGUGACGUGGCCCAGUGAGAGAGUGACACAUGGCAACACCCGGAUGGAGCAACGAACCUCAAGCGCGACUCACAUAGAUAUCUGCAUCAUGCACUCUGAAACACUCUUCUAUAGAUAUGAAGAUUCGUAAUCCCCAUUCUGCACAUCAUUCCAAAUAAUUCUCUUUCACUCUCUGGUCGAGAUGAUCCAUCUUGAGGCGACCUCGGAAGUUCCAAGCACCGAAUCUACCCUACAUCAAUGAAUCACACUACGAGGGUGCACGACCCAAAUUUUACUGAUUUCAAAUGUUUUAUUUGGGGGGGGGGGGUUAACACAUAUUAAAAACUAUAUUAAAAGAUUUUACAAAAAUGUUACUACUUUGUAAUAUAUCCAUAGUUUUUAAAAUGCAUGCAACAUUACGAUAAUAAUAUGCCCGGUAGUUACCCAACCUAAGCUUUAAGAAAAAUUUUAUGCCUAGUCGUUAUAAUGCCUAAAAUUACACUAGAAAAUUUUACCUAGUUGUUAUGUUGUCAUAUUCCUUAGAAUAAUCUAGUUACUAGUCGUUAUGCUGCCAAAAUUCAAGUAUAAGCAUUGUACCUAGUUGUUACUCUGCCCUAUAAUCCUAAGAAUAUGAAGAACCUAAUAAUUAUUAAAUAGAUAAGGUAUAAUAUAAGUAUCAUAAUAAUUAGGAAAUAAACUAUAUCAAAAGGGAACGAAAAGAUAUGCAAUGUACUUAACUAUACCAUAACAUAUCAAAGAAUAACUAUAAGAAGAUAUCUAUUAUAUAUAGGAUUAAGUAUAUAUGUACACACACACACACUUAUAUAUACACACACACACACACACACACAUAUAUAUAUAUAUAUANNNNNNNNNNNNNNNNNNNNNNNNNNNNNNNNNNNNNNNNNNNNNNNNNNNNNNNNNNNNNNNNNNNNNNNNNNNNNNNNNNNNNNNNNNNNNNNNNNNNNNNNNNNNNNNNNNNNNNNNNNNNNNNNNNNNNNNNNNNNNNNNNNNNNNNNNNNNNNNNNNNNNNNNNNNNNNNNNNNNNNNNNNNNNNNNNNNNNNNNNNNNNNNNNNNNNNNNNNNNNNNNNNNNNNNNNNNNNNNNNNNNNNNNNNNNNNNNNUAUAUAUAUAUAUAAUGAAAGAGAAACAAAUUAAAGGAAAAAUAAAGGAAAGAAUAACAAAGAUUAAUAAUCAUACUUUAAAGGUUUAUAAAAGCAAGUUGUUAAAUGAGAGUAUUAUUCAUCCUUUAGAUGGAAUAUUAAGCUAAACCAGGACCUAUAAUCGUUAAUCUUAAGUGAUCGUUAAAUGUAUGUGUAGAUCUAUAUGGGGUUGACACCCCUACGUGCAGUUGCUAGCUACAACCCCAACGUGCAUAAUGUUAUAGUUUUGUGACUUCUGAUGAAGCGUCGUGGCAGAGAAAUAUCAAGUCAUAUAGAUCGAUUAUAGGAACUCAUUGUAACAUUGUUCACCAACCAUAAUAAAUUAAACUACCUAGAGGGAACGCCUUGAAAGUAGUCAAAGUGUGAAAAGAUAAGAAAAUGGAUAUAAAUAUAUAAAAGGAAAAGUUAUUAAAAAAAAUACGAAAAGACUAAUUUAUCCUAGGAAAAGAAGAUAUAAAUAAUAGAAACAUUUUAAAAAGAUGAUAAAACUAUUCUAAAACUAUAAAACCAUAAAACAUGUGAACUGACCAACAUUAUGUUAACGUUUUCAAAACCCAUGUAUUCUUAGGGAAAUGAGUUGCAGUGGAAGUAGAGUGUUGAAGGAAGUCGUCACCUGGCUGACGGAAGCUUUUAUUUAUUCUCCUAUUAUUUAGUUAUGAUUUAGGAAGUGUGCUUGGAUAUCAAACAAUGUAACCCCUUUAUUAAUAAUGAAUAAAAGAAGUAUUUGUGUUAUAUUUUUGUUACUGUUCAAUAUAUUUGCCUCCAGAUCCAACAUCCCUAACAUCACAUAACCCAUUGUUUCCGCCGCUGGUGGGGGCUGUAACAGUAUUUCCAUAGGAACUAUGACAAUAACCUAGGGCAUACACUCUAACUAGGUUUAACCCUUAAGCCUAAUAACUAAACGUAUUAUUAUUACUUACAAUAAUUAUAGACUACUUGCGGGAGAGGUGACUAGUUUGAGGUGUCUCUUGGCUUGUUGGAUUUUAGAACGGCUAGAUGCUAUAAUGGUCUUUCCCUAUGAUACUUCUCGCCUUACAAAUCCUUACUUGAUACUCUUGAAGUACAAAACAUAGAAUUAAUAAUCUACCAUUAAUAGAACAAUAAUUAGAUAUAGAGUGUUAUAUAUNCCUAGAAAAGCAAAGUAUAAACCAUAUUUUUGACCUAACAUUGAUAGUCUUGAAGUACAAAACAUAGAAUUAAUAAAAUACCCAUAAUAAAAAAAAUAAUCAGGUAUAGAGAUAUAUAUAUAUAUAAACUCUUAUAAAUAUAUCUAAAUAUCAUAAAGAAAAGCUAUAUAAAUUAUAACUCAAGAUUUUUGGUCAAAAACGAUACCUAGGGUUAGUACAAUAUAGUUUCUGUACCACAACUAGACCUAGAAUGUGCAACUAAGUUUUAUUACAGUUCGACGGAUGCACGCCUAAACCUAGAUAUUGUAGUUGACAAACUAAAUGCUUGAGGAUUUAUGGAUCAAUAGCCUAGUUUGUUUGGUCGAGAUUCUUGUAUUGGAAGAUUAGAUCGAGACCUGAUGCUUGAGGAUUCGACACCUAGCUUGGGUUUCGUUUUUGAGGAUGCCUAGAUUGAUGGUCUAGAGUUCUAUAUCCGACAUACCUAUGUAGAGAGAGUAUCAGGAGACCCGACACUAUUUGUUACUUAUUAUAAUUAAAUAUUAUGGCUAAUCGUUAUAAUGCCUAAAAUUAAAUUGGAAGAUUUUACCUGGUUGUUAUGCUGACCUAUUUCGUAGAAUAACCUAGUUUCUAGUCGUUAUGCUAGCAAAAUUUAAGGACAAACAUUGUAACUAGUUGUUACUCUGCCCUAAUAGCCUAUCAAUAUCAAAAAACAUAAUAAUUAGUUUAUGCAUAUGGUUAAACAUAUAUAUGUAUCAGGAUAAUCAUGGACUAAAACUAUAUUAAAGAAAAACUUAAGGAUAGGCAAUGUACUUAAUUGUACUCUGCCUUAAUAUCCUAUCAAAGAAUAUCAAGAAAGAGAUAAUGAAUAUAUAGAGUUAAGUAUGUAUACAUAUAUAUAUAUAUAUAAGAAAAAACUAAAGGAAAGAAUAAUAAAAAUAAAUAAUCAUACUUUAAAGGUUUAUUAAAGAACGUUGUUAAAUGAGACUAUUAUGCAUCCCUUAGCCUAUUAAUAUUCAGCUGCACCGGACAUAUAAUUGUCAACCUUAAGUGAGUGUUAAAGGUAUGUAUAGAUAUAUACAUGGUUGACAUCCCCACUGUGGUUGGAAGCUAUAACCCUAACAUGCAUAACUUUAUAGUCUUACGAUAUCUGAUGAAGCGUCAUGGAAAGAAAAUAUCAACUCAUAUAGCUCGAUUAUAGGAACUGAUUCUAACAUUGUUCUCCAACCUUAAUAAAUCAAACUAUCUAGUGGGGAACACCUUUAAAGUAGUCAAAGUAUGAAACGAUAAGAAAAAGGGUAUAAAUCUAUAAAAUGAAAAGUUAUAGGAUGAAUACGAAAAUGCUAAAUUAUCCAAGGAAAAUAAGAUAUAAAGAAUAGAAAACUUUAAAAAGAUGAUAUAACUAUUCUAAAAGUAUAAAACCUUAAAAACGUAUGAAAUCACCAAAAUUACAUUGACAUUUUCCAAACCCAUGUAUUCUCAUGGAAAUGAGUUGUAGUGGAAGUAGAGUGUUGAAGGAAGUCGUCACCUGGUUGAUGGAAGCUUUUAUUUGUUCUCUUAUUGUUUAGUUAUGAUUAGGAAGUGUGUUUGGAUAUCAAACAAUGUAACCCCUUUAUUAAUAAUGAAUAAAAUAAGUAUUUUUGUUAUAUUUUUGUCUAUUGUUCAAUAUACUUGUCUUCAAAUCCAACAUCCCUAACAUCGCACAACCCAAUGUUUUCCCGACAGACCGGGGGUAUGACAGAUCUGAUUUUUGGAUCUAUUGAGGAUCAAAAUUGUUGCCUCCUUUGUCCCUUUUAAUGUUGUUUAAGGAUCCACAAAACCUAUCAGUGGUAUCAAAGCGGUCCGUACACAUCUAUUGCACUUUAGUUUUUCCGUUCUUGUAGGUUUAAUUGAUUUUUCAUGCUUUAAUCCGAUCUAGUUUCUGAAUGUUAAAUAGUUUUAAAUGUGUUUUUGAUACUGAACUGUUUUGAAAAAUCGAUUUUGUACGAAUCUGUUCUAUUGUCACGCCAUGGGAAUUUCACCUCCACGACGUGGAAAUCUGAUUAGAAAACACGUUUUUGUGUCGCACCACAAUGUAGUAGCUUAUGUGCCACGAUGUGGUGAUCCUUUUGCCACGACAUGGUAGCUUCUUUGCCACAGUGUGGUGACGCUUUUCACAGAUUUUGUUUCAAAUAAAAUAUAUUUGUUGGACANGAUAUUAAAUACUUUUAGAAACUUAUCAAACCUUUUUAAACUGUUUUUCAACCUCUUAAAUAUAUAUAUAUAUAUAUAUAUAUAUAUAUUUGUGUCCUUGCAUGUUCUAAACGCAUUGUUAGUCUCACCACGAAUAGGCUCACCUACUCUAAAUGUUAAGGUUUAUGGAGGCCUCUUUGAUUCCUAAUGAGUUCAGAAGUGGCAUUAUUUCUUGCCACCCUCACCGCUAUCUUGUGCUUUGUGAGUAGGGUUAACAAAAAGGGUUUGAUAGGACACUUGUCUUGUUAAAAAUAUUUACAUUAUGAAUAUUAAAAUAAAUACCGUUUUAUAUAAAAAUAUGAAUCUUAUGCUUCCCAUGGAAAUUACACCUUGUUGUGUUUUCUUUUUGGCGUUAUGUAUUGGUGUUUUACCAACACGUCAAAUGAUAAUUCUUGAAGUAAGAUAUAUGGUAUCCGUGAUUAUCAUGCGUUACUUUUAGUCGAAUAUCAUGUAGCUUCUCAUGGUCAAUUCACCAUUUGGAUUCAUGAUUCUUGGAUAAUCUAGUCAUGAAUGUUAAAUGAGGAUAAGAAUAGAUUAACAUGCUCUUGAUACAAUAUCAAUAAAUCUUGAAAUACCCAGGAAUCAUAUAAAGAUUGAUAUUGACAAUUGUUUGUCUGCUGAAAUAGCUUCUUGGUGUGAUUUUUGGCUAAUCCACAUCACAUCAUGAAGUGAAAUAUGGAUCCAUCCCUUAGUUGAAAUAAUUUGAUAAUUGGGUAAUUAUCCUUUAAGGAUAAAUAAAACAAACUAGGAUGAAACUUUAAUUGAAUGAUGUCUAAAAAGUAUCCAAUAAAAGUUAACUACUAUAAAAUCCUCUAAAAGGAAAAGCUAUAAGGAUUGAUCAAUCUUGUUCGUGCUUUGAGAAUAGUUCUCUUAAGAUGAAAAGAAAGAUCAUACAUUUAGUUGUAGGAAAGAGCAAGUAUCAAAUGCACUUAGUACAUCCAUAACAUUGAUGCUACGUGGAAUUCCACACAAUUAGGAGUCAAUUAUGGAAACAUAAUGAACUUGUUAACAUAUGCAUAUAAUCAGGUGAUUUUGACUUGAAAUGAGCAACUUGGAAAGAUCCAUCUUAGCAAAUUUUAUGUGUUCAUAUUGAAUUAAUAUGGAAUUUCAUCAUGUUGGGAGAUGACUAGGGUAACAUAGCCAAUUAUUGCAUAUUAUCAGAUGAUUCUGAUAUGAGAGAUUUGGAAAGAUCCAUUAUGGAACUACAUUGGGUGUUGAGUUCCUUUAGAAUUAACAUGGAAAAGUAGAGGGACUACAAACUUCAAAAGAAAUGAGUACAUUGAUAAGAUUGAAGACUUGUGGAAUUCAAUGUAUUAGAAAUUGUCUAAGAUCAGGUGAUUUUGACUCAACAAGAACAACUUGGAAAGAUCUACUAUUGAGAACGUUUUUUUCAAUUUAGAUGGAUAAGCAUAGAACUCAAAGCAUAAAAUGCUCUUAUGGUUAGAUAUCAUGAAAGAAGUGUCAAGAAGAAGAAAGUAAAUUAUCCAUAGGCAAAGAGGAUGAUUAAAGUUGGUAUACCCAAUCACAACAUCAAAUUGAAAGUAGGUAGGCCCAUUAUAAGACGUGUUCUGAUAGGCCAAAUUGAUUACGAAGGAAAAGGAUUAAGAAAAGCACAAAUUCCUAAAGUAUCUAAUGUAAAAUGAAACUUAGAGAAGACUUGAUUGAUCAUCGAUUAUGAGGCCCCAUAACUAUUUUAAAGAUUAAGAGUUAACGUGUUCUUCCAAGUGUUUAGUCUUUAAUCAAAAUAAUGAAUCCAUAAUACCAUUAGAAGAUUACUUCAAAUCCUCUAGUGUUUCACUAAAGGAUGAGUACUUACAUUUUCAAGAAUAUGCAGUGACCAAAAGGAUGUAAUAGAUUAUAACAUAUAGAAGUGAUUAUUAUCAAGGAUAUCAAAUCGAGUCCCUUUAUUAUCCUUAAGAUCAUAAAAUGAAUUAUUUCUUAAAUGUUAAUUCAGUGGUCUGAUGAUUGAAAUUGUUUAUAUAUUGUUUCAUAAGAUAGUUAUAGCUUAUUUAAAUAUAGAACAUUUCAUAUGUUUUAUUUUUUUAAAACUAUGUCAAUAAAUCCUUAAACUAGUAUAGCAACAUAGUUCAAUGGAGAUUCAUUGGUUGGAUGAAAUGCUUGUAUGGAGGCAUCCUCUUGGACAUAUGAAUUAGAGCUGGAUUACCAAAUAUCUAGUUAGAUCAGGUUUUUGAAAUCAUUUGAUCCUAAGUCUUAUGAUAAAUGCAAAUUUUAAUUAUCAAGAAUGAUACUAACACCAUCUAGUGGUAUAUUAUCUGUUGGAAUUAGUUUACACUAAUUUGUCAUUAAGAUUAACCACAAUGCAUGUUGAUCUAAAAUGUUUAGAUCAUUGUCUUGAAUAUGUGAAUGAGAAGUGCAUCACUAAAUAUUAAUUUGGAUAAUAUUUUGGAUGUAAUUAGACCCACAAGUCUUUUGAUUGAUACAUAUCUCAUAAUAUUAAUAAAAAUGAUGAAUAAAUCAAAUUAUGAUGUUAUCAUUGGUUGGAAUAAUUUCAUGCUAAUUGUUCGCUCAGAUUGGUUACAAAACGAAGUUCAGAGUCAUCUGGGCAAAUGAUAAGAAACUUAGGAUAAUGAGAAUCUUGAUCGAAAGUUUACGAUUAUCAAUUGCAAUUAUGAAACCGUUUGACAAAUCAUCUCAAACCAAGUAUUUCCAUAAGCAAUACAAUUGGAUAGAAAAACAAAUCAUUGUUUGAUUUGUAAUUGAUGAAUCAGAUUGUGCUUACAAGUAAUUCAUGGAAUGUACCAAGAAUAAGUGUUACAAGAGUCCUUCAUCUUGUACAACGUAAUAAAAUUCUUACCAAACACUCCGUGAGAUAGGUUACUCCGUUGGACAUCCGAACUAUGUUUUUGGAAUCCUGCCGAGAACAAUGUAUUUGUUGCUCUAAGGGCAGUCUUUCGAAAGAGAGAGCUGAUAUCCAAAAUAACUAGUGGAAGCCACAUUAAUCUUGAUAAGACUCAAGAAUUAAUUAACAAAGAGCAUAAAUAAAAACACUAGCACUUAAUUAGAGGUUAAAAACUAUUAAGGAAAGUGACAUCCCUCUACCUCUUCCACAUAGAUCUAGUAGAAGACAUUAUUGACCAUGUUGUCUUCGUGUUACAUGAGAACCGAGUAACAGAUAGAUUGAAAUAAGAGUCUAUCGACUAUCGGAAGCUAUGGAAGAUCAAAUAAGUCAAAAUUAGAGGAAGUUUUGAGGAAUGAAAUUUGGUCCAUGUAUGUUUAAAAUUUGAAUUGAUCCAAGUUGGUGUUAAAACUAUAUAGUGUUUUUGGGUCUUCAAAAGAUGACAAACAUGAACAUGAACACACAUAUAUUUAAACCAAGAUGGGUUGUGAAGCAUAUGUAGGCUUGAGAAGUCCAUUGAUGGAUUCUAACAAGCAUCUCAUGAUUGGAUUGUUUGCUUAAAUGAGAAAUUCAAAAGUUUAACUACGAGAAACAAAAGAUAUUCCAUAUAAAUGUCGAAGCUAGUGGGAGCAAUGUUAUCCCUUCUAUUGAAAUAGGAAACGAUGUCCUAACUUUGCUAAGUGUAAAAGAGUUAUAUACCUUAGGAAUUGUUUCGUUAUUAAGCACAAGGGAGGACCAAGAAAGUAUACUUGGAGGCUAUGGAGAUAGAUCUAAGUGAAUCAUUGAUUCAAGCCAAACCACUAAGAAUCUCGAGGAAACUCAUUGUAGAUUUCUUAAAGAAUUCGUGUUACUAAAUCUAUCGACUUGUAUCCUUAUGCAUGACAAGUCGUAUAAAAUUAUUUUAUAUAUUAUCAAAUAAUUAAGAAUCAAGAAUAUUCUUUGGAAUCCUAAAACGAAGAAAGAGAUAACUGUGCUAGUAUGUAAGAAAUCAAUAAAAGAGUUAUAGUGAUGGUGAGUUGCUUACUAAUAGAGACGUUUUCGUUUAGCAGCCGAAUUUCAUGCUCUUAUCAAUAAAUUAUUAGCUUGGAAGAGUAAAAAGUAAUACACCUAAGUGGAUUUGAUAACAAGCUUAGAGUAUAUUGCAGUUAGUUAAAUUGCAAAGACAAAAAAUCUGACAAAAAGAAAUUCAUUAGUGACCCCAGUGUUGUAUUCAAACUUUGAUAGUUCUCUUAAAUUUUCUUGUGACUAAAAGGUGAUUUUACCUUGAGUAUAGAUCCCAUGUCACAUAAGAUUACAUGGUAAAUACUCAGUAAGUGUCUUCACCAUUAUGAGGACACCAUAGUCAACUAAAGAUAAUCUUCUUUAAAGUCACUAAUCAAUGUUAAUAGUCACAUAAAGAUCUAAUGUUAUUAGACGUGCAUGCAUAUUAACUUGAGCACUUUAGUUUUAGUUUGUUUUAAUUUAGGAACUGAUGCAGUUGUGGUGUCUACUUGAUCUGGAGAUUAUUAAGUGGAUAACUUAAUAUUUGAUAGAGUUCGGUUAUUUUACUUAGGAUAUCAAUGUGUUUCAACUUCUGGAUGUUUAGAACCACUUCCAGAAUAUUUAUAUAUUCAAACUUCUAUAGUUGGUCCUACUUCUAGAAGAAAGUAGUGAUUUAAUAUUGUUAUGGAUCAUUGGUAGAUUGUUCAUAGGGUGAACAUAGCAAAGUUUCGACCAAUACUCAUGAGUACGUUAAAUAUAGAUUAUAAGGUAUUGGAGUAACCCGCACUUAGAGAUUACUUCAUGAAUUUUGUCACAAGUAAUUCUAAUAUUAUAUUAUAAAAUAUUCUUCAAAUGGUGAUGCAUGAUAUUUUCUUCUACAAUCUGUUGUAUCUUGAAAGUUUAAUAUUGACUAUAUCGAUGUCUCACAUUCAUAAAAAUAUCUUGAAGAAACAAAGGAAUAUUUGAUCACUCUACUUAUCACAACUUUAUGUUAUAAGUAUGGCGUAUACAUUUAUUGUAUACUCUCUACUUAUUACUAUUAAAUAUUAGACCAUAUAGUGUUGGUAACUUGUGCAAGUGGGAGUGAUGGAGAAUGGUGCCCAUAGUCCCAACACAAUUAGAGUAGUUGGUAAUAUUAUUAUUAAUAGUAUGUUCCUUUUGGUUUACACGCAAGGACAUUAAUAAGCAAUAAACGACAAUGGGAAAAUUAUAGGGUCUUGAUUUGUUAAUUAAUUAUAUGAAAUCUAGAAGUUCUGGUAUAUUCUGGAAGAUAAAAGAGUUUGAUUAAGCAGUUAGAUAAUUACCAUUUAUAUGGAUAAUUAUUAGUUGCAUGAAAAUUAUCUUUUAAGGUUUUCUAUCAUUCCCUAUAAAUAGAGAGGCAUUAUGGACGAAAUUUAUAAUGAGUUUUACACAAAACCCUAAGAGAAAUUAGGUCCUACCCCCUCUUUCCCGAAACCCACAAAUCACGAUGCCACAUUCUGGUGGCAUCUAUGUCACGACGUGAAACUUAUAGUUCGAACAGAUUCAGAUUUAUGAAGCCUCGUCAUGGUGUUCGUUUCUUAGGUUAUUAUCAAGUUUUGAUGAUAUGAUUUCCUUGGGUGCGACUAAGAAAGAGGAGUUCUACGUUGGUCUCUUAGCGGUCAUCAAUCAAUUGAAGAUCUACAAGGGUUUUGAAAAACCCUAAAAGGUAUGUUUUUCUUGAAUAAUCAAGUUGCUUUAGAUAGGUUGUAUAGAGAUCCGAUUUUUUGACCUAUUGUGUAUUAAAAUUGUUGCUUCUGAUGUCCCUUUAAUUUUGUUUAAGGAUCCUUAAAACACAUCAAAGUCACUAUAUAGUAAAGAUGAAUUACAACCAAAAUAUCUAAUACCAAUAUAGAAAUUUACAACAUAUGAAAAUCAUGGAGUCAUAUGUAACAACUGACUUUGUAACACAAAGGACACCGAAUUUAUGCAACUCUUAAAUACCAAAACAUGGUUUACAAUGAUAUUAAGCAGUUGGAUACAAGUAGUUACCAUUAAGGAUUACAAUGAUGCUCUGAGUCAGGCACUACUAACUUCAUACUUCUCUUCCGUCUAGUUGUACCUUAACACAAGAUAUAUAAUAGUUAGAUAGCUAUGUUCAUCAACAUAACGAUAGUUCAACAUAGUCUCUAAGUACCCUUUCAUCAUAACUACUAAAAUGGUCAUCCCCCAUCAAGUAGUAGUAUUUCCAUUAAAAUAGUAACCCUAGUCAACACUCGACAAGUGAUGUCACAACUACCACAUCUAUCACAACAGUCAUCAUAUGACUGGUGAUACCAAACUACAACAUCUAUCACAACAAUCCACAUCUCACUAGUAAUACUACAACUACCAUAUCUAUCACAAAAAUUCACAUCCGACUAGUGAUACUAUACCUUCACUAUCUAUCAAAACAACCCAAUUUGACUAGUGUUAUCACAAUUACCACAUCUAUCAUCACAGUCAACAUCUGACUAGUGAUACUGUAAUUACUAAAUCUAUUACAACAGUUAACCUUUGACUAGUGAUACUACGACUACCAGAUCUUGUAUACUCUCUAAUUAAUGUGUUACAUUCUUACUACGUACUUUGUCUUACGAAUUAUCUAUAUGCCACAAGUAAAUAAUACAUAUAGCUACCAUCGAACCAAUUGCAUAUCCAUAAUCCCUAAUAUUGGUAGAUGUUCCUAACUAAUCUCCUAAUGGGUAUUUUUUAACAUUUGUACUAAAUGUCAUAAGGAUAGACCAUCCACCUAUUUCUUAUUCAUCUGUCUUAGCAUCGAAUGCUACGAUCUAGUCUAUUUAUCAUCUUAAAUCUCAAAAAUCAUCAUUUAGCAAAGAUAGAUGUCAAUUAUAUUGUUAGUUUUGGCACCCUACAGUCUAUUAGGUUGUAGUAUGUUAAACACCAUUGUCUAUUAUUCUCGCAUUAAGUAGAUAUAUCUAUCUGAUGCUUCAAGUUCUUUAGUAACUCCCAGACUUAUUGUAACAUAAUUACACCUCAUUGAUAUCAUCUGGCACCAACAUGCAAUCAUCCCUUUUUAUGCUUAUUUUAGACACAUACAAUUAAUUUCUUAUUCAUCCUUAAUAAGAUUUACUAGGGAUUAGUAAUAAGUGAUACCUUUAAAUAUCCAUAAGGUCUACUAAAAGAUAUUAGCAUACAAACACAUGUUUACCUUACAAGAUCGAUACGGUUCGUUAUAAUACUUUCAACAUCCCUAAGUAUCUAGAUGUAUCACUUGCAACAUCCAUAAAGUGUCUCGGCAUACCCCUUGCAACAUCCACAAGUGUCUCCAUAUAUGUUAUUGGCUCUUUAGUCAUAUACUUUUGGGUAAUAAUCUUCAAUUGUUAUAUUUAAAGAUAAAAGGUACUAAAAAUGAUUUGAAUUUGAUAAUUAUAGGUAAUUUCAUAGCUUGGAGUAAAAGGAAGAAAUUAGAACUUACUAGUAUCUAAUAAGGACUGAAAAAUGAAAACAACCAGAAAAUACACAGGAGCAUGCCAUGCCUUUUCUACCUACGUGUCAUAAAGAGAUUAUGAUAACGAGAAGAUUGAGAUCGACUCAGAUAUGUAGUAGACUUCACGACCUGACAUUAAAAGGAUUAUGACGCUACAUCACAGAAUCAAUAAAUAUGUAAUUUCACAACCCUAAUUUGGUGUGAAACCACGGGAAACCUUUGAUAUGAAGAUAGAAGACGUCUAAAACCCUUUUUGGUCGAUUUGAAGGCUGACGAACAUGAUAAGAGAAUUGUUUCGAAGAUCGAAGCUUAGAAAGUUAUUUAAUCAUUUGGGUUGUCUUGUACAUCAUGUUUAGCAAUACCUUAAUGAUUAUAUUUUGUCUAUUAGUAGAGAUCAAGGGUUAAAAAUCUUUUAUUUCUGCUUAGAUGUACAUGAUUCCUAAAUACCCUUGCUGGAUUUUAAUUAUCUACAAUUGAGAUUAAUGUAGUUUAGAAUACCACUCUACCAAUAUUAACUUGCAUCUUAAUUAGUUUAUGAAGAUAAACUAUUAGGACUAGUGAUGUACAAAAUCCUAGGGCUAGAUAAUAUAAUUUUUAACUUGAAUAUGUAAGAAAGUACUAGAUAUCCAUGCUAGGCUAGAUUAAUUAAUUCAUUAUUCGAAUAUUGAAUUGAUUAUUUAGUUAGCUAAUUGCAUGGCCAUUGUGUUAGUUGCUUUAUAAUUAUUGGUAUUAGUUCAUAAAAUCAAGAUAACUAGUCAUUAAAACAAUUGGUAAUCAACUUUUCAAUUCAUUGAACUCGAAUAAAUCAACCAUAGGAAAAAGGUGGAUUCAGAAUCUAAGUGGAAGUAAUUUAAAUCGAUCGUCUAAAUUAUGUUCUUUGCAUUUCUUUGAUUUAGUUUGGUUAUAAAUCAAAUUUAAUUUAAGUAAACAAAUACCCCUUUUACUUUUAUGUUUAUAGUUUAAUUAUUUUCUUUAUUAUCUAAACUAAAUCAUGCAUAUUCCCCUUGUGUUCGACACCCUUACUUAUCAAAAAUAUACUACUACAUGAUGUUAAAACAUGAAAAGUGAACCUCUAUCAAUCACAAGUAAUAAAGAUCCAAAGUCAGCAGAUUCCGAGAUUGACGAAGUCCGAGAUAGAGAUGAAGAUCAUUUCGAGAUGCAGUGAAGAUCCGAGAUUAGUUGUCUGAUUCAAACAUUUAAUGUUUCUUGUCUUAUUAGUGAUGUAAUGUUUCAUAGGACUUUUGCUUUUUGUAUCUUUUAGAUAAUAAGUUGUCAGUGAUUGAUUAUUAACCAGUCCUAGGAAUGUUUCUAAGUAGUAUGAUGUUCCUCCUUAGUCUAUUUAAGGAGUGUUUUUAAUGACAAGAAACAUAUGUAUUGUUACUCCAAAGAUAGAAAAAAACUCUCUUUAAUUCUUUUUCACUUUUCUCUCAAGUUAAGAUCUUUCAUAACAUUCUUCUUGUUCAUUAAAUGUAUUUACAUUAAUUAUAAUCCUAAUUUACUUCAUUUAAUAUUAAGUACUUUGUUGAAUGUUUCAUUAAUGUCUUGAUUGGUAUUACCAGACUCGACUGAAACCUUUAAUUAAGAGUAGACAUUGAUCUUAAAUAUUAACUCAAGGUUUGAGUUUUCAAACCUUGUCCUUGCGCAUUGAUUAUUGUACUCACAAUUGGUAUCAAAGCUUGAAUGGUUGUCCAUUGAAUCCAUAAGAACAUAUUAUAGUUGAUUUGAAAUUACAAUGGUAUUUUAAUCAUUUCUCUGUUCAGGAUAAAAGUUCUUCUAUAUACCGCUUCUGCUCUAAUAUCGUAACUUCAAUGGAUGCUUCUAAUUUUUAACAAAUGUAAUCAAUGCAAAUAGAAAAUAGUGUGGGUUACCCUUCUCUUGUCCCAUUGCUAGUUGUUGAAGAGUAUGAUCACUAGAAAGUCAGAACGGAAAGGUUCUUACUUGGUAUGGAAAAAGGUGACGUUAUCUGGAGAUUCGUAAAACAAGGUCCACAUGCUCAAGUAAGACAAACCAUGAGAGACGCUGCUGCAACUCUCAUGGGACAGGAAGAACUGCGUCAAGCACCUCUCAUGUUCUGAAAUGGUUUUCGGUGUUCCUCCUUCUCUCUUUGACCAUAUUAAGUUGUGCAAAUCUGCUAAAAAUAUUUGGGACACACUCCAAGACAUGUUCGAGGGAUCAGAAAACAUGAAGGAUAAACAUUUGACUUCCAUCGUUAACGAGUUCGAUACUUUCACCACAACUCCUGGUGAAUGAGUUGUCUUGGCCUUUAACAUAUAUUGAAUAGUCGUGAACAACAUGACGACUCUUGGGAUUGUCCGAACUCCACUAUAAUACAAUGUCAAAUUCAUCAAUAGUCUCAGUAAAGGAUGGGGAAACGUGGAAUCGUGUCUUCAGAGUAAUGGAUCUUUGAAGAAGUUGAAGCUUUACCAGCUGUUUGACGAACUUCAAGGUCACGAAUCAAAUGUUUCACAAACUUUGAGAGAACUCUUAGGAGGUUAUCUUGCUCUUGUUAGUUCUUUCAAUCCUAAUGUAUAGAAACCCUCUGUUUUGGAGCUAUUCUAAGCUGUUAUUCUAACUAUCCCAACUAUUUAACCCUCUCCACCUGCUUUACCUUCUCCUGCUAGUUCAAACUAUCAGUUUGAUGGAGACCUCGGCCCUGAAGCAAUGGAGUCCGAACUUCAUUUUCAACAAGAGUUUUCUUUACUUUCCAUGAAAAUAUAAGCGUCCUUUUAAUCCCACUCAUAAACCAUAUCACAACCAUUUCAAAUCUCCUCAUCAAAAUAAUCCCCAACCAUUUCCCAAACCUUUGGAAAAUCCACCUGCUUAUAAACCUAACAUCUCUACAUCAAAUCAUACCUCGGAAUCCCAUGAGACUCCGAAGUCAGACAAACCAAAGAUCGUUUGUCAAAAGUGUGGUCAUACAAAUCACUAUGUCAAAUAUUGCUUGGCUGAAGCACCACAAACACCCAAGAUCAAGGAACCUGCAUAUUAUGCAUGUCGAGCCUAAGAGAUGGCUGCUAGUGAGAAAGCAUUUAUUAUCACUGUGUCGAGAGAUGUGGAAGGAUAUUGAUCAUCUGGAAAUGAAGAUGAUGUGAGUACUGGUAGAAACAUGUGUCUUAUGGAAAGACAAAAUAACAAUCAAAUGUCAUGAUGGCUACUAGUCAUCUGGAUCAAAGGAAGAUUAUAAUGAUGUUGAACCGAACUACUGCUAUAUGGUGACCAACGACCCACCAGGUAGAAGCAUCGUUCAACAGGUAAAAUCAAUGAUCACUGUAAUAGUUUUGAUUUAUCUCUUUGUGAACCAUAUCUAACCCAUAUCCAAUUAGAUAUGAACAUCAUUUAUAAAGCCUAUGAGUAUGCGAUUGAAGCAUGUGAGAAGAUGGAGAGUGAAUUAAGUCGUCUUAGAUUACGUUUUGAGGAUAAGAAGCUUAAGAUAGAUUCUUUAGAACAUGAACUUGUAUGUCAAAAGAUGAAUGUAUCAUUCUUAAGGACAAAUGUGAAAUCACUUUUUCUAAAAGAAAUGUUUUUAAUUUUUGAUAACAAACGUCUCAAUGCCAAAAUAGAUGCUUUCCAUAAUGCCAUAGACAUUCUUGAAGCAAAUGAACGGAUGACUCAUAAUUUUCGUCAUCCUUGGUCUAAAGCACCUGCUGUCGGAAGCGAGUUUUUUGAAACCUAUUGCUCGUCCCUUGAAGGAGUUACAAAAUCUAACUUUUAUGUGAGACAUUUUGAACCGCAAUCAUUAACAUACCCCUGUCUCACCAUUGUCAUCCUUUCUUGAGACUUCAUACCGAUUCUCAUCUUUGAUUCCUAAGUUUCAACCAAUAGUUGUAAAAAGUCCCGAUUCUACGAUUUUCCACCUCUAAUACCCCUGUACUUAAAUCAGACCUCAAAAAUUUUUCUUACCAUUUCCAAUACUAUAGUUCAAAUUCUGAACCACAAUCAUCCUCACAGUUGUGUUAUUGAAGAAAUCAUUCCGGAGACAACUGGAUCUGACUCAAAGAUAUCAAAUUUUGUCUGGGCAUCUUUUGAUAGUGAUGUUGAAGAAUAAAUUGUAGUUGAAUACUCGUCUGAUUCUUGUGUUUCUGAUUCUCAAGUGAUUUUAAAAACCACCUUAGUGCCAAUCAAACCCAAGUUUAACAACUCAUCUGCUGGUCAAACUUCCAAGUCAUCAUCUGACUCCAAGAAGAAACCUUCAUUAAAUAGAAAAGAUGUCAUCAAUCCUAUGAUAGAAGACAAAAAUGCACUAAAAAAGGAAAAUAGGUGAAGACAAGACUCCAGGUUCAUUGGGAAUCCUAAAAAGAAAGCAUCUCUAACUAUCAGCCCGACCACUAGGAGCCAUAACACAUUUACGCCUGUUAAGAUUCAUAAAAGGCCACCCAUUCCUCCUAGUUAAGUUGUAACACCGUAAAUUUUCAACAAAAUUUUCAUUUAAAAUUGCAUACUUUUCAUAACAUAUUGUAUAAAAAUCUCGUUUAUUCAAUUUAUAAAGUGCAACUCCAUUAAUAAUCCAGGAUCCUCAUAACUCUUUCUCUCGUGUAUACAAUCAAGCCGGUGCCGUCCCGCGAUCCUGAGAAACCUGAAACACAUAAUACAUACACGGUAAGCACAAGGCUUAGUGAUUUCCCUAAAAUACCACAUACAACAAAUGCGCCACUCAAGGCCAUACUCUGUAAGACCCUCCGGUCAAUGUAUCUCAGCGGGACCCUCCAGUCCCAUAGCUCGUUGGACCCUCUGGUCUGGUGUAAUGUGUUGUGCCCUCCGGUCCAGUCUGGUUGAGGAACCUCCGGUCCUCAUAAAUCAUUGGAUCCUAUGGUCCGGUCUGUAAAGCUCCACAUGGCAUAAAUCACAAAGAAAUAAUGCACCACAUAAAACAUAAGGCAUGAUAACAUAAUACUCAAUGUAAGCACAUAAGACCUUCCGGUCACACAUAACUACCACUCAAGGUAAAGUAUAGUGAGUAGACUCACCUGACAAGCACCAAGUAAAGACCUCGCUCCCGAAUUUCGAACUAGCCUCUGCCUAACACAAGGAAUAAAUAUCUUUAAGUGAUACUCUAAUCACAACUCUAAUGACCGAAGGCUAUUCUUUCUCUCAUUAACUCUUUUGAAGUGGAUAAAAGACCAUUUACCCCUCCAUGGUCUCUACUACUCAUGUUGAGCAAAACCCCAAAGUCAAUAGAAGUCAAACUCGAGUCAACAGUCCAUGUUUGACCCGACUCACCGAGUAUACCCUUGCAACUCGUCGAUUCCAAUUAUUUUCCUUAGAAGUCUCGUGACUAUCCAGCUCAGCUCGUCGAGUUGACCCCCAAUUCGUCGAUCUAUCGCAUGAUUCAGCUCUUCGGGACAAACCCUAACCAACUCGUCGAGUUGGCUCAUUGACUCGGCGAGUUCAUUCAGACCAAAUGUUCAUUCAGACGAUUUCAAUCAGAUCUAUCACUCCAAACACUAGAUCUAUCAUCCCAAGGCUCAAUAAUCAUGUAAAGCUUCGAUCUUUACGUAUAUAUAGGAGGUUAUUGCUCCAAAACGCUAAUAUAUGUCUUUCAUGAAGGAUUUAACUCAUCAACCCUCAUUUGAAUGACUAAAUCUAGGACACCUAGACUCUAAGGAUCUUAGGAGGUCCAGAUCUGAGGUUUCUAACCUCAAACCAUAUCUCAUUCAACUCAUAGAUUCAAAAGGAUGGAAGUUGUAACAACAUGAAUUUCCAAAACAAUUUUUUUCAUUUUUUAAAACAUAAUUUCAUUCAUAAAAAAAUCCAUUAUAUCACAUAUUAUCUCAAUAAACAACCCCAGAAUCUCAAGUACAUAAAUCUUCAUCAGUGUCUACAGAUUAUGUCGGCGCCUUCCCGCGAUCCUCGCUAGUACCUGAAACACAUAUCACAUAACACGGUAAGCAUAAAUUCUUAGUCAGUUCCCCAUAUUACCACAUACAACACACACUCCACUCAAGGCUAUAUCACAGUACGACCCUCCGGUCGAUGUGUCUCAGCGGGACCUUGCAGCCCUGUAGCUCGUUGGACCCUCUGGUCCGGUUAUAGCUCGUUGGACCCUCCGGUCCGGUCUAAUUGAGGACCCUCUGGCCUCAUGAGUCGUUGGACCCUCUGAUCCGGUCUAUAUAACACAUAACAUACAUAUAGCACAAUGCACAUAAUCUCAAAGAUACACAUAACACAUAAGACCCUCCGGUCUGCACAUAGCUACCACUCUAGGUAAUGUAUAGUGAGAAGACUCACCUUGAUGAAGUCAGAAAAACUCUCGUGCUCGAAUAUCCUGAUCUCACCUCCCUCUAUCAACAGGAUAACAUUGUUGGGUUUUAGUAUAAUACCACAUCCUAUGGUGCACAUACAACCCUAAAUACCUUGGAUCUAUGUUUUCUCUAAUAUAUAUACAUAUAUGAAGUUUCCAAGAUAUUACCCUAUACUAGCAUACAAAUAUCAUAUACUUGGGUAAUAAAAUAGAUAGAAUACAUACCUUUUUUUUAUGUAACUUGUCUUCAUGAAGCUUGAGUGCCUAGUGCCCCAAGUGGGACACCUCAAAUGGUUCACACAAAACCAUGAACACUUGGAAUAACGUUAAGAAUAAGGAUACUUUGGUUCUCUCUAGUGAAAUUGGCCUUGCCCUUUUGUGUACACACACUAGUACCAAUUUCACCAACCAAGGACUUCUUUAUAUAGUGUGGAGAUUAGGGUUAAACCCUAAUACCCAUGACCUUUCAUUUCACAUGAUCCAUGGGUUAAACACUCCAUGGACUAUCCAUGAAAGCUUAGCCCAACCUAAAUGAACUUGGCCCAUCACCCACAUAUAUCUUAGAGUCCAUAUUUAAUUAGUUCCUUUUGAUCACUUAAUUAAUUAUAAAUUAAUUCUUGAUCAAUACUAAUUAAAUAAUAUGAUUAUAUAUUAAUAUAUUAGAACUUAUAAUAUAUUAAUAUAAAUCAUUAGUAUCCUUUUUCCUCAUCUUGUCUAUCCAAUUGUCCCGAUGCCAUGCAACCCAAAUGGACCAUGCCGGGUCGGGUCAAGUCUUACCAAUUAUAGUUAUGGACUUAGACAUUAAUCCAACAGUCUCCCACUUGGAUAAGUCUAAAACUAAUAUUGAGUAUGACUUCAAGAACCGACUGGCAAUCGUAGCUCUCAAAAGCUUCUGUCGAACUCUGACCUUGCCGAUGAACUCUGACCUUUGUCAAUGACUUGUCCAUUAGAUAAGGGAUCAUAUAUUCCUCCAUUCUAGAUAUCAUAUGGACUGAGACAUGGAUUAUAAUCAUUCUCUCUGUCCAUUUGUUGUUUCCCGAUUUUCGAUUUAUGAUGACUGACUAGUUGAACAAAUCAAAUCAGUCAUGGCUUUGCCAAGCACUCACAUGUGUCAUCAUUAAAUCAUCGAGGGGCCCUCAGAUAUCGCUUUUAUCCUGAAGGUAAAAGGAAUGGAUAAACUUCGACUCAUAUGGAUUGUUCUACUACUUGUUGAAUCAUACACAAAGGCACGUUUUAUAACAUCGAGUUACCAAUGCGUUUUCGUGCAAUCAAUGUACAACCAACUCAUAGUAACAACUCAUAUCUCUAGGUUUGAAGAAUAUAAGAUAUUAUCGUCUCAUGAUCACUCGUGAUAAAAUCCAUGAAGUGAUUCCAAUGAGCGUGGGUUGAAUCCAACACUCAGACCUUAUGAGCACUCAUGAGUGUUGUAGUACCACCUUGCCCAACAUCUUAGACCUCUACAAGCCCAACCCAUGACAGUCUUGAUUCAUAUCUACUUCCAACAUAUGACCGACGGUGGAUGGUUUGAAUAACUUUGUCAUUCAGGAAUAAGGACCUAGUUAUUCUGGAAGUCAAAACAUGCAAAAUGAAACACAAGAAUAAUUGAAUCUUAUAUGGUCUCAGAACUUAUCAAUAUAAAUAAAACACCUUUUAUUUAUCACCAUAUGAUUACACAUUAUUUAUUGCAUACUCUUUCAGCUAUCAACUUUAUUCUUGAAUUAAAACAAUAGUUGUCCCAUGCUCCAAACAUGUACGCUAUGUUUUCUAAACACUAGUCAUGCCAUACACCAAGUAUGCACACUAUGUUUGUCUAUGAUCUUUACUUUGUGAAAUAGAUCGAUUGAACAUAACUCCAAUGAUUCUCAUUUCACAAUCCAAAAUCCCAACCGCAAAUGCAAGAAUUCCAAAUUCAUGCCAUUUACCGAAAGCUGUUAGAUUCUAAACUUAUAUGCAUUGUGAUGGGUUUUAUACAAACAAUCCUAUGUGUACAUGCAACCCUAGCAUUGGAUCUAUGUUUUCACUAUUAGAUACAGAACAUUAUGAACACAUAAUAAAACCCUAAUCCUAGCAUAUGGAAUUCGAUAUUAACAUAUAAUUAGGUUUAUGAUAUUACCUUGAUUGUUAUGUAGCAAUAACAAUCCCAAUUCCUCCUUGAAUUGACUUUGGAAGGCUUAGAGUCACAAGUGUCACUCCUCUAAUGGCUUACAAACACCAUAAGCAAGUGGAGAAGGUAUAAAGAGAGAGGAGAGAGGUAGAAAUUCGUCCUUAGAUGCUCUAGGGAUCAAGUGCAUGAAAUCCUAAGGCCUUAGGGGUCUUUAUAUAGGGUUGGGAUUAGGGUUUCAGUCCUUAUCCUUAUCUAGUUACUUGCCCAUCAAGCAACCAUAAGAUAAGCCUUGAAAAUCCCUAUCUCUUGGACCUUGGACGAUUUUAAGGAUAUCCUUAUCCUUGAAUUCGUCCAUCCUUUAACAAGGAUAACCAUUGCCCUAUUUUGCAACUAUCACAUAAUUACAAUUCAGCCCCUCUAGUUUAAUUAAUUACAUUUGAUCACAAAAUUAAUUCUUAAUUAAUUAUUGACCAAUAUUAAUUAAACAAAUACGAUUUCUCCUUUAAUAUACUAUUCUUAUAACAUAUUAAUAAAUCAUAAUAACCUCUCUCUCUAUUUAUUUCUCCAAUCAAGUUGCUUUGGUGAAGGCAACCCAAAAGGACCAUGCACCAUCGGGUCAAGUACAUACCAAAAUAGUUAUGGACUUAGACACUAAUCCAACAGACUCCCACUUGGAUAAGUCUAACAACUAUUCUGCGUAUGACUUCAGAUCCCGAUCUGCAAUCGUAGCUUUCCAAAGCCGCUGUCAACUCUGAUCAUAUCAGAUACGCGUGUCCUUAGAUAAGGGAUCAUAUAUUCCUCCAUUCUAGAUAUCAUAUGAGAUAUGAUUUCAAAUCAUUCUCUUUGUACUAUAUCUCGAUUCCCGAUUUAUGACGACUGACUAAUUGAACAAAUCAAAUUAGCCCUAGCCCGGCCGAGCAUUUACGUUUGUCAUCACUAAAUCAUCGAGGGGCCCAAAGAUAUCGCUUUUAUCCUACUUUGGAUAAAAGGAACGGAUAAACUUUGAUACAAUGCUUGCUUGCACUCACUCACCGAAUCACACACAACAAUAUGUUUUAUAACACCAAGUUACUAGUGCGUUUACAUAUUAUCAAUGUGCAACCGAUUCGCAAGAUACAACUCACACAUCUCGGUUUCAAGAAUAUAAGAUGUUAUCGUCUCACCAAUCACUCGUGAUACAAUUCAUGGAGUGAUCCAAGUGAGCGUGGGUUUAAUCCAAUGCUCAAAUCAUAUUCAUAAGCACUCAUGAACGUUGCAGCAAACAUUUGCUUAUGUCUAAUACUCUUUAGACAAUCCACACACCAAUUCACGACAGUCUUCAUUCAUAUCUACUUCCAACAUAUGAACGACUGUGGCCCGUUCGAAUAAUUCGAUUAUUCUUAAUAAACUCAAUUAUUCUGGAAGUCAAAACAUGCAAAUGUGAAACACAAGAAUAAUACUAAUCCCAUAUGGCCUCAAACCUUUGAGUAUAAAUAAAACACCUUUUAUUUAUCACCAUAUUGAUUACUCAUUAUUUGUCGUUUCGGGUAAUCAACUUCUUACUUGAAUUACAACACUUGUCCCAUGCUCCUAGCAUGCACACAAUGUUUACCUAUGGUUCUUACUUUGUGAAAUAGAUCAAAUUGAACACAUUUCCAAUCAUUCUCAUUUCACAACUCCAAAUCCUUUUCAUAAGUGAAAGAAUAUCAAAUUCUUGCUACUUAUAGAAUAUGCUAGAUUCUAACAUUCUAUGCAACUUAUCCUUUCGUAAUGUCACUGCACCAAAGUCACAAAGACUAUUGCCAAUGAUAUUACAAAGUCCUCUAUCGGAGAUUGUUACAAGACAAUUCCAUAGAUGUGAUGUCUCUCACUCAAAGUACAUUCUUUGAACAUCCUUUUGCAUAGAAGUUUCUAAUCUAGUCAUAGAUUUCUCAAUAUUCAAUUCCCAAUAUGGACACACUUCCAUAUUUUCCAUAUGACAACUCAUUCUUAAUAGAAUCUUUUCUAUAAUAAUGUCGAUAUGGUCCAUUCAAUACCAUGCUUCCAACUACUCACAAGCAACCAAUCCUCGUCGAACUUUGGAUUGUCCUUUGAUAGUUGUUUAAUUAUUUUAGUCAAAACCGAUUCUAGUCCUUUUUCCCUCUAAAUGCGCUGGACAUUUGGAAAAUUUUAGAAUGGUCAAACAUUAAAGCAUUUGCAAUCGAUCCUAUACCCGAAGCGUAUGGGACACGACGCAUAAUGUUUUAUUUGCUAUGUUCUCAAAAUUCGAAUUGUGAAGAGGAAUGUCGUAAUCAUAAUCGAAAUUUUAAGAACACACUAUGUACCCUUGACUAAAUUUAUUAACAUUUCUCAACCUAAACCUUUAGAUUUGAAAUGAAGCAUAAUAUUCUCUCCCUUAAUUAUAGCAAAACAACUAUUCCUUCCUUACAACUUUGCAAAGAAUGACUCUUGUUUUCUAUUAAUAUUGCCAACUUGCAAUACGUGCCUUAAUAAUCAUACAAUCAUAACUUUUAUGCUCCCACUAUCAUGAUGAUUAUUAUAAGCAUAACACUUAUGCUCCCACUAGCUUCGACAUGUAUUCAUAAACAUCUUAACUUUCAGAAAAACAAUGCUUAUUGAAUUUCUUAAGUUCAUGUUUUUAAUAUUUAAUGUUUUUGAUAAUCCUUUAUCAAGGCUUUUUUGAACUUAUACACCUUUGCCUUAGAUAGUUCAUAUGUGUGUCUAAACAAUUAAGAUUAACUGCCAAACCUCACAACUCAAAUCAUGGAAAGGGAUACCGUAACCAU